ACCGUCUCCGCCACUCACGGAGACAUGGACCAGAACACUAGGGACAUCAUCAUGAGGGAGUUCAGAUCAGGUUCUUCACGUGUGCUCAUCACCACUGACCUGCUUGCUCGUGGUAUUGAUGUCCAGCAAGUGUCCCUUGUCAUCAACUAUGACCUCCCAACCCAGCCAGAGAACUACCUGCAUCGCAUCGGGCGUAGUGGUCGGUUCGGGAGGAAGGGUGUGGCCAUCAACUUUGUGACCCGUGAAGAUGAGAGGAUGCUGUUUGACAUCCAGAAGUUCUACAACGUGGUGAUUGAAGAGCUCCCAGCCAACGUUGCCGACCUUCUGUGAUCGGGCGGGCUGUCGAGAACAUAUGGUAAGGGGGUCCUGACAGGGCUUUGUUUUUGUUGAAGUAUCACCAAACUUUCUUGUCUGUGGGUGGGGGGGUUCAAGUGAUAAAUGGUCUGGGGUUCUACUUUAAAGUCGUGGUCGUGGACAAUUUGGGAUUUAUUAAGCCAUGUUUUGGGAAUUUUUGUAGUUGCUAGGCUGUGGUUCUAUGUGCUGAGGAGGGAGGCGCUGCUGCUCAUGUUGCUGUUGCUGGAGUCCUCACUUUAUUUGUUAAGACUAUGUAAUGACCGAAUGAUGUUAUUUGUUUGUGUCAUCCUUGACUCUUUACCUACCGCAUGUAAUCCUGCAAUCGGUACUAGUAAUGUUAUCGUUAUUAAAAACUGUUUACUCUUUUUUUAGCAAUAACCUCUGCUUAUUAGUCAAGGAGUAGUUAUCUACUUGUGAUCGUUCGCAUAUCUAGUUUGCCGUAUUACUCGGGUAUCAGGAUAUGGCAUCUGCAGUGCUUUCUGAAAUUCCCAUUCUCAGUACUGAGUGAAACUAAGAUACUGGGUUACCUGUAAAUCCUGUCAGUGUAACGUGAAAAUUUGCAUCCUCCCAGAGAUUGGGAAAGAGUAAAUAAUGGUGAAUGUUAUCCCAGUUGUUAGGACGGAGCUCAUCAGAUGCUCAUCAGAUCUGUCCCAUUCGCUUCGUAACCCCCUCCCCUUCCACAACCGUCAACUAACGGCCAGCACACCACGCCANNNNNNNNNNNNNNNNNNNNNNNNNNNNNNNNNNNNNNNNNNNNNNNNNNNNNNNNNNNNNNNNNNNNNNNNNNNNNNNNNNNNNNNNNNNNNNNNNNNNNNNNNNNNNNNNNNNNNNNNNNNNNNNNNNNNNNNNNNNNNNNNNNNNNNNNNNNNNNNNNNNNNNNNNNNNNNNNNNNNNNNNNNNNNNNNNNNNNNNNNNNNNNNNNNNNNNNNNNNNNNNNNNNNNNNNNNNNNNNNNNNNNNNNNNNUGAAUAUUUUUGCAAGUUUUAGUGCAUCUUUCUUUUUUAAAUUUUUAUCACAACAAAGAAUACAAUAUAAUAUAUAUUUAAGAGCCUUAAAUAGAAUUUUUUUGCAAGUUUUAGUGCAUCUUUCUUUUUUAAAAUUUUAUCACAACAAAGAAUACAAUAUAAUAUAUUUAAGAGCCUUAAAUAUGCAGAGCUCACACAAUAUAACAUGUAUCACACUCGAGUAGUUUCACAUAGUUUCACAAAUAGCAAAAUAUGCAAAGCUCACAUAUUAAUAAAGGUUGAACUAAUAGACAUGUCAUACAUAGCAAAUAGCAAACGGUUCCACAUAGUUUCACAAAUAGCAAAUAGCAAACUUGUCCACAUAGUUUGACAACCCCAACUAAUGCAAGUAGUUUCGCAAACAGUUUCACAAAGCCAACAAACGGUUCCACAUAGUUUCUCUCCAACUAACACAAGUAGGCUAACAAGCCAAGACCACAAUUACAUGCUUCUUCCUCUCUUGGAGGUACGGUCCUCGUUCUUCUUUGAACGAGUCUCUUCAGGCUUCUUCUCGCGCCCUCCUCGAGGAAUCGGUUUUUGGAAUGGGGAUGGACUCUGCAAAUCCUUCUUUGGCUGAUUUCUCUUCAGAAGCUGAGAUGGUUGAGUUGGUGGAGGUCCGUAAUCUUCAUCGUACUCCUCCCCAUUGCUCUCCUCCUCCUCCUCAACCAACCUAGCCGAAGAGGCAGCAUGGCUUGAUGAAGCAAUGUUACCUUGUGUGGCUGCAGGAUCAUGAGCUUCAACCGAGCCAGCACACUCAAGCAGGCCUACCAGCUUGCGACAAUGCUUGACGAACUUCUGCAGUCACAAUGAAACAAGGACAUAAUACUGAUCAGAUUUAUGAUUGCAAAUGAACAAGAACAUAGGUUAUUUCUAGGCGCCUGAAAUAUUACCUUCACCGUCUCCCUCAUGAUAUUCUCAGAAUCUCCGUUCCCUGGGGGACGACCUAGUGCAUUCGAGCCAUCGAAGAUGCAUCUGCUCAGCUCGCCGGACUGUAAAAGCAAUGAGUCACAAUGACGAAUAAAAUAAAUUACAUACAACCGCCGGUUCAAGACAGAAGAACACAACUUACCACUCUAUUGACCAGGGGUGCAAACUCCCUAAAUCCACUCAUGUCUCUGAUGCUGGCCUGGUAGGCCUCUUCCUCGGGGGCAUCCAUCUCCAGCUCUGCGAUAUCUUCUGUCGUCCACCUAGGCCUGAGACGAAGACGAUGCUUCUGGCCAUCAUCGUACCACCUCAUGUGUUGGGCGUAAUCAUCCCAGUCAAUCACUCGCCUCUCCCCAUCUUUAUGCCACCUGCGCCGGUUCCACUCUGUCACAAAAGUUUUAUGCUGCUCUCCCCAUGCUGUGAUCAACUGAUUUUUCUUCCGGCUCAUCCUACAAGGCAUAAACAACACAAAACAUCAUAAGAAGGUCAAACGCAACGAAAUCAUGGUAACGGAGAACAAUGCACUCACAAGUGGAGUUCGUGGCCACCGGUAUCGUUCGACAUGCCCGGUGGUGUAUGCUGGUAGAUCCCAAACUGCGCGGCCACGCGGUGUGGCAAGUGCCACUCAACGACGUACACACAUAGCAUGGGCACCAUGCACCGCCAAAGACCGCGAUCCUCCUCGCACAUCACGUUCAGCUCGAUGAGAAGGUACCACAGGUAGGCCCUCGCGUAUUGCUCCACCAUACCCUCAUCGGCAUUUACGGGGCAUUUCUUUCGGUUGUUCAGGAGCCAGGGCAGCGAUACACCGGAUGUCCGGUUACCUUAGCGUCGGGGUAGUCACCGAUGAGGGUGGUAACCCUCUGCUGCCAUUUUGAACAAACAUGAAACAUAUCAAGUCCAAAUAUAAAUGAAUCAUAUUCAACCGACAUGAAUCAUAUCAUUUUCAUCAAUUAUAACUUAUUCAACCAACAUUCAUCAAUUAUCAUAUAUUCAACCAAUAUAAAUGAUCAAUGCGAAUGAAUCAUAUUCAACCAACAUCUUUCAUUCAACAACCAUCACUCAUGCACUUGUUUAUUCAACAUUGCUAAAAAAUGCAUAUACAUAAUUCACCAAAAUCCAUCAUAUGACCAUUUGUUCAAAAAAUAUGCAUAUACAUAAUUCAAUCGUAUGUAGGCAACUACUUACAAUCCCUCCAACAUCAAUCAUGUGACCAUUUGUUCAAAACAAAUCUGAAUCUCCAACUAGGGUUCAUAUAAAAACUAGGGUUCGUAUAAAAACUACAUAUAAUCUCCACAACUAUUCCCUCUAAAUAUAAGUCUUUCGAGAGAUUUCAAUAUGGACUACAUACAGAGCAAAAUGAGUGAAUCUACACUCUAAACUAUGUCUAUAUACAUAUGUAUGUAGUCCAUAUUGAAAUCUCUACAAAGACUUAUAUUUAGGAACGAAGGGAGUAGUUAUUAGAGUUCAUAUUGAACCCUAUACACAUCAUAUACAAUGAACCUAAGCAAUCCUAAGAUAAAAAAGUAAGACAAUAGGGUUGUUUUGCACCAAAUAAUGCAUCGAAUUGAAAAUGUUUCGAGUAAAACUAAUUGGAGGGAUUGAUAGAGCUUACUUUUCCCGUUUCGGAGCCAUCUCGAUCCGCAAAAAUGGUGGCAAAACGAAGAAGAUCGAAGGGGGGAGUGGAGUGGAUGAGAGAGGGCUUGUGCUCUCUGUUCUUGCAGCGCUGCAUGGUUGGGGAGAAGAAGAUGGGGGCUGGUUGGUGGGUGGGCCCCACGUGCCUCCCCACGCGGGCUUAUAAGGAUUCAGCCCCUACCGCCAUGGUCUAUGACCGUAGGGUUGCAUAGCCUACUGCCGUUAGCUCUCGCGGUAGGGUGGACGGCAGGAGACGGUUUCGUUUACUUGAGGCUGACGUGGAUGAGUGGCCUACCGCCAUACCCUGUGGUGGUAGUGAAGGAAAUAUGCCCUAGAGGCAAUAAUAAAGUUAUUAUUUAUUUCCUUAUUUCAUGAUAAAUGCUUAUUAUUCAUGCUAGAAUUGUAUUAACCGGAAACUUAGUACAUGUGUGAAUACAUAGACAAACAGAGUGUCACUAGUAUGCCUCUACUUGACUAGCUCGUUAAUCAAAGAUGGUUAAGUUUCCUAGCCAUAGACAUGAGUUGUCAUUUGAUGAACGGGAUCACACCAUUAGAGAAUGAUGUGAUUGACUUGACCCAUCCAUUAGCUUAGCACGAUGAUCGUUUAGUUUGUUGCUAUUGCUUUCUUCAUGACUUAUACAUGUUCCUAUGACUUAUGCAGCUCCCGAAUACCGGAGGAACACUUUGUGUGCUAUCAAACGUCACAACGUAACUGGGUGAUUAUAAAGAUGCUCUAUAGGUGUCUCCGAUGGUGUUUGUUGAGUUGGCAUAGAUCGAGAUUAGGAUUUGUCACUCCGUGUUUCGGAGAGGUAUCUCUGGGCCCUCUCGGUAAUGCACAUCACUAUAAGCCUUGCAAGCAAUGUGACUAAUGAGUUAGUUGCGGGGUGAUGCAUUACGGAACGAGUAAAGAGACUUGCGGGUAACGAGAUUGAACUAGGUAUUGAGAUACCGACGAUCGAAUCUCGGGCAAGUAACAUACCGAUGACAAAGGGAACAACGUAUGUUGUUAUGCGGUUUGACCGAUAAAGAUCUUCGUAGAAUAUGUAGGAACCAAUAUAUAUGAGCGUCCAGGUUCCGCUAUUGGCUAUUGACCGGAGAUGAGUCUCGGUCAUGUCUACAUAGUUCUCGAACCUGUAGGGUCCGCACGCUUAACAUUCGGUGACGAUCGGUAUUAUGAGUUUAUGUGUUUUGAUGUACCGAAGGUUGUUCGGAGUCCCGGAUGUGAUCACGGACAUGACGAGGAGUCUCGAAAUGGUUGAGACAUAAAGAUUGAUAUAUUGGACAACUAUGUUUGGACUUCGGAAUGGUUCCGGGUGAAAUCGGGAUUUUACCGGAGUACCGGGAGGUUACCGGAACCCCCCGGUAAGUGUAUGGGCCUUAUUGGGCCUUAGUGGAAUAGAGGAGGAGGAAGCCUAGGUGGGGGCGCGCCCCCCCAAGCCCAAUCCGAAUUGGGUGAGGGGGCCGGCCCCCCUUUCNNNNNNNNNNNNNNNNNNNNNNNNNNNNNNNNNNNNNNNNNNNNNNNNNNNNNNNNNNNNNNNNNNNNNNNNNNNNNNNNNNNNNNNNNNNNNNNNNNNNNNNNNNNNNNNNNNNNNNNNNNNNNNNNNNNNNNNNNNNNNNNNNNNNNNNNNNNNNNNNNNNNNNNNNNNNNNNNNNNNNNNNNNNNNNNNNNNNNNNNNNNNNNNNNNNNNNNNNNNNNNNNNNNNNNNNNNNNNNNNNNNNNNNNNNNNNNNNNNNNNNNNNNNNNNNNNNNNNNNNNNNNNNNNNNNNNNNNNNNNNNNNNNNNNNNNNNNNNNNNNNNNNNNNNNNNNNNNNNNNNNNNNNNNNNNNNNNNNNNNNNNNNNNNNNNNNNNNNNNNNNNNNNNNNNNNNNNNNNNNNNNGGCACCCCAUAGACACACAAGUUGAUCAUUGAUCUCUUAGCCGUGUGCGGUGCCCCCCUCCACCAUAAUCCACCUCGGUCAUAUCGUAGCGGUGCUUAGGCGAAACCCUGCGUUGGUAACUUCAUCAUCACCGUCAUCACGCCGUCGUGCUGACGAAGCUCUCCCUCGAAACUCUACUGGAUCGUGAGUUCGUGGGACGUCGCCGAGCUGAACGUGUGCAGUCCGCGGAGGUGACGUACCUUCGGUGCUAGGAUCGGUCGAUCGUGAAGACGUACGACUACAUCAACCGCGUUAUCAUAACGCUUCCGCUUACGGUCUACGAGGGUACGUUGACAACACUCUCCCCUCUGGUUGCUAUGCAUCACCAUGAUCUUGCGUGUGCGUAGGAAAAUUUUGAAAUUACUACGUUCCCCAACAGUGGCAUCCGAGCCAGGUUUAUGCGUAGAUGUUGUAUGCACGAGUAGAACACAAGUGAGUUGUGGGCGAUACUAGUCAUACUGCUUACCAGCAUGUCAUACUUUGAUUCGGCGGUAUUGUUGGAUGAAGCGGCCCGGACCGACAUUACGCAUACGCUUAUGCGAGACUGGUUCUACCGACGUGCUUCGCACACAGGUGGCUGGCGGGUGUCAGUUUCUCCAAGUUUAGUUGAAUCGAGUGUGGCUACGCCUGGUCCUUGUUGAAGGUUAAAACAGCACAUACUUGACGAAAUAUCGUUGUGGUUUUUGAUGCGUAGGUAAGAACGGUUCUUGCUUAGCCCGUAGCAGCCACAUAAAACUUGCAACAACAAAGUAGAGGACGUCUAACUUGUUUUUGCAGGGCAUGUUGUGAUGUGAUAUCUUCAAGGAAUGAUGCUAUAUUUUAUUGUAUGAGAUGAUGAUGUUUUGUAACGGAGUUAUCGGCAACUGACAGGAGCCAUAUGGUUGUCGCUUUAUUGUAUGCAAUGCAAUCGCCCUAUAAUUGCUUUACUUUAUCACAAAGCGGUAGCGAUAGUCGUAGAAGCAAUAGUCGGCGAGACGACAAAGAUGCUACGACGGAGAUCAAUGUGUCGCGCCGGUGACGAUGGUGAUCAUGACGGUGCUUUGGAGAUGGAGAUCAAAGGAACAAGAUGAUGAUGGCCAUAUCAUAUCACUUGUAUUGAUUGCAUGUGAUGUUUAUCCUUUAUGCAUCUUAUUCUGCUUUGAUUGACGGUAGCAUUAUAAGAUGAUCUCUCACAAAAAUUCAAGGUACAAGUGUUCUCCCUGAGUAUGCACCGUUGCCAAAGUUCGUCGUGCCGAGACACCACGUGAUGAUCGGGUGUGAUAAGCUCAACGUUCUUAUACAACGGGUGUAAGCCAGUUUUGCACACGCAGAAAUACUCAGGUUAAACUUGACGAGCCUAGCAUAUGCAGAUAUGGCCUCGGAACACUGGAGACCGAAAGGUCGAGCGUGAAUCAUAUAGUAGAUAUGAUCAACAUAGUGAUGUUCACCAUUUAAAACUACUCCAUCUCACGUGAUGAUCGGACAUGGUUUAGUUGAUUCACGUGAUCAUUUAGAUGACUAGAGGGAUGUCUAUCUAAGUGGGAGUUCUUAAGUAAUAUGAUUAAUUGAACUUAUUUAUCAUGAACUUAGUCCUGGUAGUAUUAGCAUAUCUAUGUUGUAGAUCAAUAGCUCGCGUUUAGCUCCCCUGUUUUAUUUUUGAUAUGUUCCUAGAGAAAACUAAGUUGAAGAUGUUAGUAGCAAUGAUGCGGAUUGGAUCUGUGAUCUGAGGAUUAUCCUCAUUGUUGCACAGAAGAAUUAUGUCCUUGAUGCACCGCCAAGUGAUAGACCGAUUGCAGGAGCAAAUGCAGACGUUAUGAACGUUUGGCAAGAUCGAUAUGAUGACUACUUGAUAGUUUAGUACACCAUGCUUUACGGCUUAGAAUCGGGGCUUCAAAGACGUUUUUGAAACGCCACGGAGCAUAUGAGAUGUUCCAAGAGUUGGAAUUAGUAUUUCAGACUCAUGCCCAUGUCGAAAGGUAUGAGACCUUUGACAAGUACUUUGCCUACAAGAUGGAGGAGAAUAGCUCAGCCAGUGAGCAUGUGCUCAGAAUGUCUGAGUACUACAAUCACUUGAAUCAAGUGGGAGUUAAUCUUCCAGAUAAGAUAGUGAUUGACAGAGUUCUCUAGUCACUAUCACCAAGUUACUAGAACUUUGUGAUGAACUAUAAUAUGCAAGGGAUAACAGAAACGAUUCCCAAGCUCUUCUUGAUGUUGAAAUCGACGAAGGUAGAAAUCAAGAAAAACAUCAAGUGUUGAUGGUUGACAAGACCACUAGUUUCAAGAAAAGGGCAAAGGGAAGAAGGGGAACUUCAAGAAGAACGGCUAGCAAGUUGCUGCUCAAGUGAAGAAGCCCAAGUCUGGACCUAAGCCUGAGACUGAGUGCUUCUACUGCAAUGGAAAUGGUCACUGGAAGUGGAACUACCCUAGAUACUUGGCGGAUAAGAAGGAUGGCAAGGUGAACAAAGGUAUAUUUGAUAUACAUGAUAUUUAUGUGUACUUUACUAGUGUUUAUAGCAACCCCUCGGUAUUUGAUACUGGUUCAGUUGCUAAGAGUAGUAACUCGAAACGGGAGUUGCAGAAUGAACAGAAACUAGUUAAGGGUGAAGUGACGAUGUGUGUUGGAAGUAGUUCCAAGAUUGAUAUGAUCAUCAUCGCACACUCCCUAUACUUUCGGGAUUAGUGUUGAACCUAAAUAAAUGUUAUUUGGUGUUUUGCGUUGAGCAUGAAUAUGAUUUGAUCAUGUUUAUUGCAAUACGGUUAUUCAUUUAAGUUAGAGAAUAAUUGUUGUUCUAUUUACAUGAAUAAAACUUUCUAUGGUCAUACACCCAAUGAAAAUGGUUUGUUGGAUCUCGAUCGUAGUGAUACACAUAUUCAUAAUAUUGAAGCCAAAAGAUGCAAAGUUAAUAAUGAUAGUGCAACUUAUUUGUGGCACUGCCGUUUUGGUCAUAUUGGUAUAAAACGCAUGAAGAAACCCCAUGCUAAUGGGCUUUUGGAAUCACUUGAUUAUGAAUCACUUGAUGCUUGCGAACCAUGCCUCAUGGGCAAGAUGACUAAAGACUCCGUUCUCUGGAACAAUGGAGCGAGCAACUGACUUAUUGGAAAUAAUACAUACUGAUGUAUGCGGUCCGAUGAGUGUUAAGGCUCGCGGCGGGUAUCGUUAUUUUCUGACCUUCACAGAUGAUUUGAGCAGAUAUGGGAAUAUCUACUUGAUGAAACACAAGUCUGAAACAUUUGAAAAGUUCAAAGAAUUUCAGAGUGAAGUGGAGAAUCAUCGUAACAAGAAAAUAAUAGUUUCUACGAUAUGAUCGCGGAGGUAAAAUAUUUGAGUUACGAGUUUGGUCUUCAGUUAAAACAAUGUGAAAUAGUUUCACUACUCACGCCACCUGGAACACCACAGUGUAAUGGUGUGUCCGAACGUCGUAAUUGUACUUUAUUAGAUAUGGUGCGAUCUCUGAUGUCUCUUACCAAUCUACCACUAUCGUUUUGGGGUUAUGCAUUAGAGACAACUACAUUCACGUUAAAUAGGGCACCGUCUAAAUCCGUGGAGUUGACACCGUAUGAACUGUGGUUUGGCGAGAAACCUAAGCUGUCGUUUCUUAAAGUUUGGGACUGCGAUGCUUAUGUAAAAAAGUUUCAACAUGAUAAGCUCGAACCCAAAUCGGAGAAGUAAAUCUUCAUAGGAUACCCAAAAAGAAACUAUUGGGUACACCUUCUAUCACAGUUCCGAAGGCAAGAUCUUUGUUGCUAAGAAUGGAUCCUUUCCAGAGAAGGAGUUUCUCUCAAAAGAAGUGAGUGGGAGGAAAGUAGAACUUGAUGAGGUAACUGUACCUUCUCCCGAAUUGGAAAGUUGUUCAUCACAGAAAUCAGUUCCAGUGAUGCCUACACCAAUUAGUGAGGAAGUUAAUGAUGAUGAUCAUGAAACUUCAGAUCAAGUUACUACCGAACCUCGUAGGUCAACCAGAGUAAGAUCCGCACCAGAGUGGUACGGUAAUCCUGUUCUGGAGGUCAUGUUACUUGACCAUGACGAACCUACGAACUAUGAGGAAGCGAUGAUGAGCCCAGAUUCCGCGAAAUGGUUUAAGGCCAUGAAAUCUGAGAUAUGAUCCAUGUAUGAGAGAAAGUAUGGACUUUGAUUGACUUGCCUGAUGAUCGGUGAGCCAUUAAGAAUAAAUGGAUAUUCAAGAGGAAGACGGAUGUUGAUAGUAGUGUUACUAUCUACAAAGCUCGAAUUGUCGCAAAAGGUUUUCGACAAGUUCAAGGUGUUGUCUAUGAUGAGAUUUUCUCACUCGUAUCGAUGCUUAAGUCUGUCCGAAUCAUGUUAGCAAUUGCCGCAUUUUAUGAAAUCUGGCAAAUGGAUAAACAAAAUUGCAUUCCUUAAUGGAUUUAUUAAAGAAGAGUUGUAUAUGAUACAACCAGAAGGUUUUGUCAAUCCUAAAGGUGCUAACAAAGUAUGCAAGCUCCAGCGAUCCAUCUAUGGACUGGUGCAAGCAUCUCGGAGUUGGCAUAUACGCUUUGAUAAGUUGAUCAAAGCAUAUAGCUUUAUACAGACUUGCGGUGAAGCCUGUAUUUACAAGAAAGUGAGUGGGAGCACUACAGCCUUUCUGAUAAGUAUAUGUGAAUGACAUAUGGUUGAUUGGAAAAGAUGUAGAGUUUUCUGGAAAGCAUAAAGGAGUGUUUGAAAGGAGUUUUUCAACGAAAGACCUCGGUGAAGCUUCUUACACAUUGAGCAUCAAGAUCUAUAGAGAUAGAUCAAGAACGCCUGAUAAGUUUUUUCAAUGAGUACAUACCUUGACAAGUUUUUGAAGUAGUUCAAAAUGGAACAGUCAAAGAAAGAGUUCUUGCCUGUGUUGCAAGGUGUGAAGUUGAGUAAGACUCAAAACCCGACCACGACAGAAGAUAGAGAGAGAAUGAGAGUCAUUCCCUAUGCCUCAGCCAUAGGUUCUAUAAAGUAUGCCGUGCUGUGUACCAUACCUAUUGUAUACCCUGCCCUGAGUUUGGCAAGGGAGUACAAUAGUGAUCUAGGAGUAGAUCACUGGACAUUGGUCAAAAUUAUCCUUAGAGGACUAAGGAAAUAUUUCUCGGUUAUGGAGGUGAUAAAGAGUUCAUCGUAAAGAGUUACAUCGAUGCAAGCUUUGACACUGAUCUGGAUGACUCUGAGUCUUGAUCUGGAUACAUAUUGAAAGUGGGAGCAUUUGGCUAGAGUAGCUCCGUGCAGAGCAUUGUAGACAUAGAAAUUUGCAAAUUACAUACGGAUCUGAAUGUGACAGACCCGUUGACUAAACUUCUCUCACAAGAUAAACAUGAUCACACCUUAGUACUCUUCGGGUGUUAAUCACAUAGCGAUGUGAACUAGAUUAUUGACUCUAGUAAACCCUUUCGGUAUUGGUCACAUGACGAUGUGAACUAUGGGUGUUAAUCACAUGGUGAUGUGAACUAUUGGUGUUAAAUCACAUGAGGAUGUGAACUAGAUUAUUGACUCUAGUGCAAGUGGGAGACUGAAGGAAAUAUGCCCUAGAGGCAAUAAUAAAGUUAUUAUUUAUUUCCAUAUUUCAUGAUAAAAUGUUUAUUAUUCAUGCUAGAAUUGUAUUAACCGGAAACUUAGUACAUGUGUGAAUACAUAGACAAACAGAGUGUCACUAGUAUGCCUCUACUUGACUAGCUCGUUAAUCAAAGAUGGUUAAGUUUCCUAGCCAUAGACAUGAGUUGUCAUUUGAUGAACGGGAUCACAUCAUUAGAGAAUGAUGUGAUUGACUUGACCCAUCCAUUAUCUUAGCACGAUGAUCGUUUAGUUUGUUGCUAUUGCUUUCUGUUGGGAAUCGUAGCAUAAUUUUAAAAUUUUCCUACGCUCACCAAGAUGCAUCUAUGGAGUAUACUAGCAACGAGGGGAAAGGAGUGCAUCUACAUACCCUUGUAGAUCGCGAGCGGAAGCGUUCCAAUGAACGUGGAUGACGGAGUCGUACUCGCCGUGAUCCAAAUGCGUUCAACACACGUACGGUGCAGCGACGUCUCCUCCUUCUUGAUCCAGCAAGGGGGAAGGAGAGGUUGAUGGAGAUCCAGCAGCACGACGGCGUGGUGGUGGAUGUAGCGGGAUGCCGGCAGGGCUUCGCCGACCAUAUACGAGAGAGAGAGGUGUUGCAGGGGGAGAGGGAGGCGCCCAAGGCUGUAAUGCUACUGCCCUCCCUCCCCCCCUUUAUAUAGGCCCCCUGGGAGGGGGGGCGCUGGCCAGAACCCAUCUAGGGUGGGGGGGGCGGCGGCCAGGGGGGUAACUUACCCCCCAAGGCAAGUGGGAAGCCCCCCCACCCUAGGGUUCCCAACCCUAGGCGCAUGGGGGGAGGCCCAUGGGGGGGCGCCCAACCCACUAGGGGCUGGUUCCCUUCCCACUUCAGCCCACGGGGCCCUCCGGGAUAGGUGGCCCCACCCGGUGGACCCCUGGGACCCUUCCGGUGGUCCCGGUACAAUACCGGUAACCCCCGAAACUUUCCCGGUGGCCGAAACUUGACUUCCUAUAUAUAAUUCUUUACCUCCGGACCAUUCCGGAACUCCUCGUGACGUCCGGGAUCUCAUCCGGGACUCCUAACAACUUUCGGGUUUCCGCAUACACAUAUCUCUACAACCCUAGCGUCACCGAACCUUAAGUGUGUAGACCCUACGGGUUCGGGAGACAUGCAGACAUGACCGAGACGCCUCUCCGGUCAAUAACCAACAACGGGAUCUGGAUACCCAUGUUGGCUCCCACAUGUUCCACGAUGAUCUCAUCGGAUGAACCACGAUGUCGAGGAUUCAAUCAAUCCCGUAUACAAUUCCCUUUGUCAAUCGGUAUGUUACUUGCCCGAGAUUCGAUCGUCGGUAUCCCAAUACCUUGUUCAAUCUCGUUACCGGCAAGUCUCUUUACUCGUACCGUAAUGCAUGAUCCCGUGACUAACGCCUUAGUCACAUAGAGCUCAUUAUGAUGAUGCAUUACCGAGUGGGCCCAGAGAUUCCUCUCCGUCAUACGGAGUGACAAAUCCCAGUCUCGAUCCGUGCCAACCCAACAGACACUUUCGAAGAUACCCGUAGUGCACCUUUAUAGUCACCCAGUUACGUUGUGACGUUUGGCACACCCAAAGCACUCCUACGGUAUCCGGGAGUUGCACGAUCUCAUGGUCUAAGGAAAAGAUACUUGACAUUGGAAAAGCUCUAGCAAACGAAACUACACGAUCUUUUAUGCUAUGCUUAGGAUUGGGUCUUGUCCAUCACAUCAUUCUCCUAAUGAUGUGAUCCCGUUAUCAAUGACAUCCAAUGUCCAUAGUCAGGAAACCAUGACUAUCUGUUGAUCAACGAGCUAGUCAACUAGAGGCUUACUAGGGACACGUUGUGGUCUAUGUAUUCACACAUGUAUUACGAUUUCCGGACAAUACAAUUAUAGCAUGAACAAUAGACAAUUACCAUGAACAAAGAAAUAUAAUAAUAACCAUUUAUUAUUGCCUCUAGGGCAUAUUUCCAACAGUCUCCCACUUGCACUAGAGUCAAUAAUCUAGUUACAUUGUGAUGAAUCGAACACCCAUUGCGUCCUGGUGUUGAUCAUGUUUUGCCCUAGGGAGAGGUUUAGUCAACGGAUCUGCUACAUUCAGGUCCGUAUGUACUUUACAAAUAUCUAUGUCUCCAUUUUCAACACUUUCACGAAUGGAGUUGAAGCGACGCUUGAUAUGCCUAGUCUUCCUGUGAAACCUGGGCUCCUUCGCAAGUGCAAUAGCUCCAGUGUUGUCACAGAAGAGAGUCAUCGGGCCCGACGCAUUGGGAAUCACCCCUAGGUCGGUAAUGAACUCCUUCAUCCAGACCGCUUCCUGUGCUGCCUCCGAGGCUGCCAUGUACUCCGCUUCACAUGUAGAUCCCGCCACGACGCUUUGCUUGCAACUGCACCAGCUUACUGCUCCUCCAUUCAAAAUAUACACGUAUCCGGUUUGUGACUUCGAGUCAUCCAGAUCCGUGUCGAAGCUAGCGUCGACGUAACCCUUUACGACGAGCUCUUCGUCACCUCCAUAAACGAGAAACAUAUCCUUGGUCCUUUUCAGGUACUUCAGGAUAUUCUUGACCGCUGCCCAGUGUUCCAUGCCGGGAUUACUUUGGUACCUUCCUACCAAACUUACGGCAAGGUUUACAUCAGGUCUGGUACACAGCAUGGCAUAUAUAAUAGACCCUAUGGCCGAGGCAUAGGGGAUGACACUCAUCUUUUCUCUAUCUUCUGCCGUGGUCGGGCAUUGAGCCGUGCUCAAUUGCACACCUUGCAAUAUAGGCAAGAACCCCUUCUUGGACUGAUCCAUAUUGAACUUCUUCAAUAUGUUGUCAAGGUAUGUACUCUGUGAAAGACCAAUGAGGCGUCUUGAUCUAUCUCUAUAGAUCUUGAUGCCUAAUAUAUAAGCAGCUUCUCCAAGGUCCUUCAUUGAAAAACACUUAUUCAAAUAGGCCUUUAUACUUUCCAAGAAUUCUAUAUCAUUGCCCAUCAAUAGUAUGUCAUCCACAUAUAAUAUGAGAAAUGCUACAGAGCUCCCACUCACUUUCUUGUAAACACAGGCUUCUCCAUAAGUCUGUGUAAACCCAAACGCUUUGAUCAUUUCAUCAAAGCGAAUGUUCCAACUCCGAGAUGCCUGCACCAGCCCAUAGAUUGAGCGCUGGAGCUUGCAUACUUUGUUAGCAUUCUUAGGAUCGACAAAACCUUCCGGCUGCAUCAUAUACAACUCUUCCUUAAGGAAGCCAUUAAGGAAUGCCGUUUUGACGUCCAUCUGCCAUAUCUCAUAAUCAUAGUAUGCGGCAAUUGCUAACAUGAUUCGGACGGACUUCAGCUUCGCUACGGGUGAGAAAGUCUCAUCGUAGUCAACCCCUUGAACUUGUCGAUAACCCUUAGCGACAAGUCGAGCCUUAUAGAUGGUCACAUUACCAUCCGCGUCUGUCUUCUUCUUAAAGAUCCAUUUGUUUCCUAUGGCUCGCCGAUCAUCGGGCAAGUCAGUCAAAGUCCAUACUUCGUUUUCAUACAUGGAUCCUAUCUCGGAUUUCAUGGCUUCUAGCCAUUUGUCGGAAUCCGGGCCCGCCAUCGCUUCUUCAUAGUUCGAAGGUUCACCGUUGUCUAACAACAUGAUUUCCAGGACAGGGUUGCCGUACCACUCUGGUGCAUAACGUGUCCUUGUGGACCUACGAAGUUCAGUAGUAACUUGAUCCGAAGCUUCAUGAUCAUCAUCAUUAACUUCCGCGCCAGUCGGUGUAGGCACCACAGGAACAUCUUCUCACGCUGCGCUACUUUCCGGUACGGAAGGGGUGACUAUCACCUCAUCAAGUUCCACUUUCCUCCCACUCAAUUCUUUCGAGAGAAACUCCUUCUCUAGAAAGGACCCGUUCUUUGCAACGAAGAUCUUGCCUUCGGAUCUGAGGUAGAAGGUAUACCCAAUAGUUUCCUUGGGGUAUCCUAUGAAGACGCAUUUUUUCGAUUUGGGUUCGAGCUUUUCAGGUUGAAGUUUCUUGACAUAAGCAUCGCAUCCCCAAACUUUUAGAAACGACAGCUUAGGUUUCUUUCCAAACCAUAAUUCAUACGGUGUCGUCUCAACGGAUUUCGACGGUGCCCUAUUUAAAGUGAAUGCGGCAGUCUCUAAAGCAUAGCCCCAAAAUGAGAGUGGUAAAUCGGUAAGAGACAUCAUAGAUCGCACCAUAUCCAAUAGAGUGCGAUUACGACGUUCGGACACACCGUUUCUCUGAGGUGUUCCAGGCGGCGUGAGUUGUGAAACUAUUCCACAUUUCCUUAAGUGUGCACCAAACUCGUGACUUAAAUAUUCUCCACCACGAUCUGAUCGUAAGAAUUUUAUUUUCCUGUCACGUUGAUUCUCAACCUCACUCUGAAAUUCCUUGAACUUUUCAAAGGUUUCAGACUUGUGUUUCAUUAGGUAGACAUACCCAUAUCUACUUAAGUCAUCAGUGAGAGUGAGAACAUAACGAUAUCCUCCGCGAGCCUCAACACUCAUUGGACCGCACACAUCGGUAUGUAUGAUUUCCAAUAAGUUGGUUGCUCGCUCCAUUGUUCCGGAGAACGGAGUCUUGGUCAUCUUACCCAUGAGGCAUGGUUCGCACGUGUCAAAUGAUUCGUAAUCAAGAGACUCCAAAAGUCCAUCUGCAUGGAGCUUCUUCAUGCGCUUGACACCAAUGUGACCAAGGCGGCAGUUCCACAAGUAUGUGGGACUAUCGUUAUCAACUUUACAUCUUUUGGUAUUCACACUAUGAAUAUGUGUAACAUCUCAUUCGAGAUUCAUCAAAAAUAAACCAUUGACCAGCGGGGCAUGACCAUAAAACAUACCUCUCAAAUAAAUAGAACAACCAUUAUUCUCGGAUUUAAAUGAGUAGCCAUCUCGAAUUAAACGAGAUCCAGAUACAAUGUUCAUGCUCAAAGCUGGCACUAAAUAACAAUUAUUGAGGUUUAAAACUAAUCCCGUGGGUAGAUGCAGAGGUAGCGUGCCGACGGCGAUCACAUCGACCUUGGAACCAUUCCCGACGCGCAUCGUCACCUCGUCCUUCGCCAGUCUCCGUUUAUUCCGUAGUUCCUGUUUUGAGUUACAAAUAUGAGCAACCGCACCGGUAUCAAAUACCCAGGAGCUACUAUGAGUACUGGUAAGGUACACAUCAAUUACAUGUAUAUCACAUAUACCUUUGGUGUUGCCGGCCUUCUUGUCCGCUAAGUAUUUGGGGCAGUUCCGCUUCCAGUGACCACUUCCCUUGCAAUAAAAGCACUCAGUUUCAGGCUUGGGUCCAUUCUUUGGCUUCUUCCCAGUAACUGGCUUACCGGGCGCGGCAACUCCCUUGCCGUCCUUCUUGAAGUUCUUCUUACCCCUGCCCUUCUUGAACUUAGUGGUUUUAUUCACCAUCAACACUUGAUGUUCUUUUCUGAUCUCCCCCUCCGCUGAUUUCAGCAUUGAAUAUACCUCAGGAAUGGUCUUUUCCAUCCCCUGCAUAUUGUAGUUCAUCACAAAGCUCUUGUAGCUUGGUGGAAGCGACUGGAGGAUUCUGUCAAUGACUGCGUCAUCCGAGAGAUUAACUCCCAGCUGAGUCAAGCGGUUGUGCAACCCAGACAUUCUGAGUAUGUGCUCACUAACAGAACUAUUCUCCUCCAUCUUACAGUUGAAGAACUUGUCGGAGACUUCAUAUCUCUCGACCCGGGCAUGAGCUUGGAAAACCAAUUUCAGCUCCUCGAACAUCUCAUAUGCUCCAUGUUUCUCAAAACGCUUUUGGAGACCCGGUUCUAAGCUGUAAAGCAUGCCGCACUGAACGAGGGAGUAAUCAUCAGCACGUGAUUGCCAAGCGUUCAUAACGUCUUGGUUCUCAGGGAUUGGUGCUUCACCUAGCGGUGCUUCUAAGACAUAAUCUUUCUUGGCUACUAUGAGGAUGAUCCUCAGGUUCCGGACCCAGUCCGUAUAGUUGCUGCCAUCAUCUUUCAGCUUGGUUUUCUCUAGGAACGCGUUGAAAUUGAGGACAACGUUGGCCAUUAGAUCUACAAGACAUAGUGUAAAGAUUUUAGACUAAGUUCAUGAUAAUUAAGUUCAUCUAAUCAAAUUACUCAAUGAACUCCCACUCAGAUAGACAUCCCUCUAGUCAUCUAAGUGAAACAUGAUCCGAGUUAACUAGGCCGUGUCCGAUCAUCACGUGAGAUGAACUAGUCAAGAUCGGUGAACAUCUCCAUGUUGAUCGUAUCUUCUAUACGACUCAUGCUCGACCUUUCGGUCCUCCGUGUUCCGAGGCCAUGUCUGUACAUGCUAGGCUCGUCAAGUCAACCUAAGUGUAUUGCGUGUGUUCCGAGGCCAUGUCUGUACAUGCUAGGCUCGUCAACACCCGUUGUAUGCGAACGUUAGAAUCUAUCACACCCGAUCAUCACGUGGUGCUUCGAAACAACGAACCUUCGCAACGGUGCACAGUUAGGGUGAACACUUUCUUGAAAUUAUUAUAAGGGAUCAUCUUACUUACUACCGUCAUUCUAAGCAAAUAAGAUGCAAAAACAUGAUAAACAUCACAUGCAAUCAAAUAGUGACAUGAUAUGGCCAAUAUCAUUAUGCUCCUUUGAUCUCCAUCUUCGGGGCACCAUGAUCAUCUUCGUCACCGGCAUGACACCAUGAUCUCCAUCAUCAUGAUCUCCAUCAUUGUGUCUUCAUGAAGUCGUCACGCCAACGAUUACUUCUACUUCUAUGGCCAACGCGUUUAGCAACAAAGUAAAGUAAUUUACAUGGCGUUAUUCAAUGACACGCAGGUCAUGCAAAAUAAUAAAGACAACUCCUAUGGCUCCUGCCGGUUGUCAUACUCAUCGACAUGCAAGUUGUGAUUCCUAUUACAAGAAUAUGAUCAAUCUCAUACAUCACAUAUAUCAUUCAUCACAUCUUCUGGCCAUAUCACAUCACAUAACAUAUGCUGCAAAAACAAGUUAGACGUCCUCUAAUUGUUGUUGCAAGUUUUUACGUGGUUUGUAGGUUUCUAGCAAGAACGUUUCUUACCUACGUAUGACCACAACGUGAUUGCCAAUUUCUAUUUACCCUUCAUAAGGACCCUUUUCAUCGAAUCCGUUCCGACUAAAGUAGGAGAGACAGCCACCCGCUAGCCACCUUAUGCAACUAGUGCAUGUCAGUCGGUGGAACCUGUCUCACGUAAGCGUACGUGUAAGGUCGGUCCGGGCCGCUUCAUCCUACAAUGCCGCCGAAACAAGAAACGACUAGUAGCGGCAAGAAGAAUUGGCAACAUCAACGCCCACAACUUCUUUGUGUUCUACUCGUGCAUAGUAACUACGCAUAGGCCUGGCUCAUGAUGCCACUGUUGGGAAUCGUAGCAUAAUUUUAAAAUUUUCCUACGCUCACCAAGAUGCAUCUAUGGAUUAUACUAGCAACGAGGGGAAAGGAGUGCAUCUACAUACCCUUGUAGCUCGCGAGCGGAAGCGUUCCAAUGAACGUGGAUGACGGAGUCGUACUCGCCGUGAUCCAAAUCACCGAUGACCGAGUGCCGAACGGACGGCACCUCCGCGUUCAACACACGUAAGGUGCAGCGACGUCUCCUCCUUCUUGAUCCAGCAAGGGGGAAGGAGAGGUUGAUGGAGAUCCAGCAGCACGACGGCGUGGUGGUGGAUGUAGCGGGAUGCCGGCAGGGCUUCGCCGACCAUAUACGAGAGAGAGAGGUGUUGCAGGGGGAGAGGGAGGCGCCCAAGGCUGUAAUGCUACUGCCCUCCCUCCCCCCUUUAUAUAGGCCCCCUGGGAGGGGGGGGGGGCGCCGGCCAGAACCCAUCUAGGGUGGGGGGCCGGCGGCCAGGGGGGUAACUUACCCCCCAAGGCAAGUGGGAAGCCCCCCCACCCUAGGGUUCCCAACCCUAGGCGCAUGGGGGGAGGCCCAUGGGGGGGCGCCCAGCCCACUAGGGGCUGGUUCCCUUCCCACUUCAGCCCACGGGGCCCUCCGGGAUAGGUGGCCCACCCGGUGGACCCCCGGGAUCCUUCCGGUGGUCCCGGUACAAUACCGGUAACCCCCGAAACUUUCCCGGUGGCCGAAACUUGACUUCCUAUAUAUAAUUCUUUACCUCCGGACCAUUCCGGAACUCCUCGUGACGUCCGGGAUCUCAUCCGGGACUCCGAACAACUUUCGGGUUUCCGCAUACACAUAUCUCUACAACCCUAGCGUCACCGAACCUUAAGUGUGUAGACCCUACGGGUUCGGGAGACAUGCAGACAUGACCGAGACGCCUCUCCGGUCAAUAACCAACAACGGGAUCUGGAUACCCAUGUUGGCUCCCACAUGUUCCACGAUGAUCUCAUCGGAUGAACCACAAUGUCGAGGAUUCAAUCAAUCCCGUAUACAAUUCCCUUUGUCAAUCGGUAUGUUACUUGCCCGAGAUUCGAUCGUCGGUAUCCCAAUACCUUGUUCAAUCUCGUUACCGGCAAGUCUCUUUACUCGUACCAUAAUGCAUGAUCCCGUGACUAACGCGUUAGUCACAUAGAGCUCAUUAUGAUGAUGCAUUACCGAGUGGGCCCAGAGAUACCUCUCCGUCAUACGGAGUGACAAAUCCCAGUCUCGAUCCGUGCCAACCCAACAGACACUUUCGGAGAUACCCGUAGUGCACCUUUAUAGUCACCCAGUUACGUUGUGACGUUUGGCACACCCAAAGAACUCCUACGGUAUCCGGGAGUUGCACGAUCUCAUGGUCUAAGGAAAAGAUACUUGACAUUGGAAAAGCUCUAGCAAACGAAACUACACGAUCUUUUAUGCUAUGCUUAGGAUUGGGUCUUGUCCAUCACAUCAUUCUCCUAAUGAUGUGAUCCCGUUAUCAAUGACAUCCAAUGUCCAUAGUCAGGAAACCAUGACUAUCUGUUGAUCAACGAGCUAGUCAACUAGAGGCUUACUAGGGACACGUUGUGGUCUAUGUAUUCACACAUGUAUUACGAUUUCCGGACAAUACAAUUAUAGCAUGAACAAUAGACAAUUACCAUGAACAAAGAAAUAUAAUAAUAACCAUUUAUUAUUGCCUCUAGGGCAUAUUUCCAACACUUUCUUCAUGACUUAUACAUGUUCCUAUGACUAUGAGAUUAUGCAACUCCCGAAUACCGGAGGAACACUUUGUGUGCUACCAAACGUCACAACGUAACUAGGUGAUUAUAAAGGUGCUCUACAGGUGUCUCUGAUGGUGUUUGUUGAGUUGGCAUAGAUCGAGAUUAGGUUUUGUCACUCUGAUUGUCAGAGAGGUAUCUCUAGGCCCUCUCGGUAAUGCACAUCACUAUAAGCCUUGCAAGCAAUGUGACUAAUGAGUUACUUGCGGGAUGAUGUAUUACGGAACGAGUAAAGAGACUUGCCGGUAACGAGAUUGAACUAGGUAUUGAGAUACCGACGAUCGAAUCUCGGGCAAGUAACAUACCGAUGACAAAGGGAACAACGUAUGUUGUUAUGCGGUUUGACCGAUAAAGAUCUUCGUAGAAUAUGUGGGAUCCAAUAUGAGCAUUCAGGUUCCGCUAUUGGUUAUUGACCAGAGACGUGUCUCGGUCAUGUCUACAUAGUUCUCGAACCCGUAGGGUCCGCACGCUUAACGUUCGGUGACGAUCGGUAUUAUGAGUUUAUGUGAUUUGAUGUACCGAAGGUAGUUCGGAGUCCCGGAUAUGAUCACGGACAUGACGAGGAGUCUCGAAAUGGUCGAGACAUAAAGAUCGAUAUAUUGGACGACUAUAUUUGGACAUCGGAAUGGUUCCGGGUGAAAUUGGGAUUUUACGAGAGUACCGAGAGGUUACUGGAACCCCCCGGUAAGUGUAUGGGCCUUAUUGGGCCUUAGUGGAAUAGAGGAGGAGGAAGCUUAGGAGGGGGCACGGCCCCCCAAGCCCAAUCCGAAUUGGGUGAGGGGGCCGGCCCCCCUUUCCUUCCUCUCUCCCUCCUCUUUCCUACCUCUCCUACUCCAACUUGGAAGGGGGGGGGGGGGAAUCCUACUCCGGUGGGAGUAGGACUCCCCUAUGGCGCGCCCUAGAGAGGGCCGGCCCUCCCCCUCCUCUACUCCUUUAUAUACGAGGGAGGGGGCACCCCAUAGACACACAAGUUGACCAUUGAUCUCUUGCCGUGUGCGGUGCCCCCUCCACCAUAAUCCAGCUCGGUCAUAUCGUAGCGGUGCUUAGGCGAAGCCCUGCGUCAGUAACUUCAUCAUCACCGUCAUCACGCCGUCGUGCUGACGAAGCUCUCCCUCGAAGCUCUACUGGAUCGUGAGUUCGUGGGACGUCGCCGAGCUGAACGUGUGCAGUCCGCGGAGGUGCCGUACCUUCGGUGCUAGGAUCGGUCGAUCGUGAAGACGUACGACUACAUCAACCACGUUAUCAUAAUGCUUCCGCUUACGGUCUACGAGGGUACGUAGACAACACUCUCCCCUCUGGUUGCUAUGCAUCACCAUGAUCUUGCGUGUGCGUAGGAAAAUUUUGAAAUUACUACGUUCCCCAACAGGUAGCCUGUAUAUGCCUACCACCAUGGCCCCUGGCGGUAGGUGAAAGUGUCAGAUCCCGAAAUGGUUUCGAACAUGGGUCAGAUCUCGAUUUUCUUUGACAAAAGGGUCAAAACACGAAAUUUUGCCUCCCUACAACCCUCGGCUUGCUGCCCCAUGCAGAACCUCGUCGGUUGGCCGUUGUGCCGAUUCCAUCUUGGCUUGUGUUGGUUGCAGCAUCUCGGCUUGUCGCUUGCAGCUGGUUGUGGCUUGUCGUUGCAAGGUUACAACAUCCCCUAUGGCGCGGCAGUGGCUCAGGCGCUUUCUAGCAAAACUUUUCGCAGAGAAAAAGCACCAUCAUUGCGGAUUCCUAGCAAAAUCCAUUGUCAGUUCCAGCAAAAAUUGUCAUCGGUCGCAGCAAAAAGCACCAAUGUUGCGGAUCCCUAGCAAAGUCAGUCACCUGUUCCAGCAAAAAAUGUCACCGGUCGCAGCAAAAUACAUUGUCUAUCAAAACAAAAAGCAUCACCGUGAGAUUGACCUGGGCCUCUUGGGUGUUUAACCAAGCACAUGUUGAGCCCUUUAACAUAAGGAUUAAGAGUUUGACAGUGUGCCGAUCAUCACCAUUAGCCACCUGGGAUAUGAGGAGGUAAAAUAUGUUACCCAAAAUCUCAGGGUCCGCUUCCGUUGUACUUGUCCAUCGUGUUUAUCAUGAAGCUAAAUGCAAACUUGUAGCAAACAUUCUCGUCGAUGAAGCAUGCCAUUGCUUGUCAUCGAAAGCUGGUUGGUUUGGAUCCUGAGCAUUCUGGCGCAGCCGAUGUGCAUGCUACUACUCGGUUUCUCUCAGGGAAGGGUCACACGAUACGUUCAGGCUAUGGGGCAUCCCCCGAUUCGCCUUGGGAUGAUAUAUGGACGUGGAGACACAUAGGUGGUCCCGGUGUGACUCUUGGACAGGGCCUAAUUAUCCCGCUGGAUCAUCACCGUCUUCAGAUACUCCAUCCCUUGCUCGAACCUCCGCUUGUCCGGAUGCCCCUUUGGGAAUUGUGUCAUGAUCAAGGCUCCUCCCUCUACCUGCAUAUUCUUGGCCGGAGUGCGAUAGGACUCUGCGCCCGCCUGGAUCAACAACGUUCACGAGUGCCUCUUUCACCCGUCUACUUUAGGAAGGCAAAAAACACAUAUUUGACCUGUUGGCUAAAUCAAUUCACGAUCUGAACUGCUCUUGAAAAAAAUUCACAAACUGACCAUUUUGUGUGACGCCUGACAGACGGGCGCUGCACUACACUAUGCAGCGCCUUUGUCUUAGGGGCCAGGCGCGGCCCCACAUCCAACCGUGCAGCGCCUAAGCGCUAGGCGCCACACAGUAUCAUGUGCAGCGCCUAGCGCUUAGGCGCUGCACAUUGACUUAAGCCGCAUCGGGCCAGCCCUCCCCAGACAGUUCUUCCCUCCCAGGCAGUUGCUCUCUGUCAACAGAGAGCAGCGGCGGCGCCCCCUUUGAUCCCCCCACACCCCUCUCAGAUCUGGAGAUUUCAGCUGUGGAAUCGAUCUCUAAUCCCUCCUACUAGGUAAACUCCUCCGUUCCCUUUCUUUUCCUCUGUAAAUUUGUUGCCAUUUUUAGAGAUUUGUCCAAGAUUGGGCGGAACCCUUGAUUUGCUUGGUUUGGAUCUUUAUUUGUCCAAGAUUGGGUGUUGUGAUUUAGGAUGUGUAGUCAUAGUGGUACUACCCUAGUAUUGUUCAUUAGUUCAUAAUAUAUGAUUCUUGUUAGUGAAACCCUAGAUUGUUUAGUUUUUUAGAUAUAUAUGAGAUGCCUAGUUUUGUAGAUAAUUAUGAGAUGUUGAGUUUUGUAGCUAUAUAUGAGAUGUUGAGUUUUUUUAGAUAUAUAUGAGAUGUUGAGUUUAUUUGAAAUAUGAGAUGUUGAGUUUAUUUUUAGAUACAUAUGACAUAGGAGAUAUAUAUGAGAAUUUUUCAAAUUGGUAUUGUAGAUCAUUUAUUCAUUGUGUGAGAAGGAGAUGUUGAGAUUCUUGUAGAUGAAUACAUAUGAGAUGUUUAGAUGAACACAUAUGAGAUGUUUAGUGUAUACGGAUAUUUGAGAUGAACUCAUAUAUGUUUAUUGUUUGAACUUUGUAAGGAUGGUUUGCCUUCUCGAUGAUGCCUAUGACACACGACACCGGGCCUACAUGAUGCGCGAGAAGGGGAUGGUAAUAAUGAGUAAUCUAAAUAUUUUGCAAAUUUGCCUUUAGUUGAAAUUGACACGCCCUAAGAUUUGUCAUUACUUGUUUUUUGCAGAAGCUUGAACCUCUGAAGAUUCGGUAUCACGGGGUCUCUGGUGCUGCCAUGCCCGACGAUGAGCGGUACACACCCUACAUCCAGCAAGCAGGACUCCUCCCGUGGAUUCAGUUGGUCAGCUGGUCCACGCCGAACCUCAACGCUCCACUGGUGUCCUCUCUUGCUGAUCGGUGGAGGCCGGAGACGCGCAGUUUCCAUCUUCGGACCGGGAGAUGACCGUGACGCUCCAGGAUGUCUCCUUGAUCACUGGUCUUCCUAUCGACGGGAGGCCUCUCUGUAUGAGUACCGAUUCUGAUGGGUGGCGCCAGCAGAUGACUGCUCUUAUCGGUUUGGCUCCUAUCGGGGCUGAGGCUGAUGUAGAAGAGGGACAAGAGAAGAAGAAGAAGGAAAGGAAAGCAGCCGGAGCUGCUUUCACGUGGAUUCAAGCAAACUUUGCGCAUUGCCCUGUGGAUGCCACUGAUGAUGUGAUCCAGACACAUGCUUGUGUCUAUAUGUGGUACGUUAUCUCGAGGAUUUUGUUUCCUGACGCCACAAGGAAGAACGCUCCAUGGAUGUGGCUGAAGGCGUUGACCGUCUUCGAUAGCAGAUGGAGCUGGGGUUCAGCGACUCUUGCCUACUUGUACCGACAGGUAGUUGGUUUGUUUUGUUAUCAAUUCAUUUAUUCAUUAGCAAUGCAACCUUGCUGUCAAGUUAACAUUGUUUUCUUUGAUAUGCAGCUGGACGAUGCGUGUUGCAGGAUCACAAAUAGUGCAUGCAUUGGUGGUAAUCUGCUUCUACUUUCAGUAUGGAGCUGGGAGCGUCUGCCUGUUGGACGCCCGAAGAGCGUCAAGUUUAAUCCUUUGGAUGUAGAUGACGAAUUACGAUGCCCCACUUGGGCUUACAAGUGGGAUGUGGUAUCCGAGAUGACAAACGAUGUCAAUCUCAUGCACCAAAAGUACAUUGCCGAGUUGUACACAAUUAUGCCUGAGCAGGUAACGAGGACAUUACAACAGUCAUUUCUCAUGCUUGCCUGAAAACUUGUCAUCAAUGUUGCGUUGUUGUCCUAUUUCAUAGGUGGAAUGGCAGCCAUAUGGCGCCAAUGACACAGUAGGGUUCACUGACAUGUUUGUCGUCAACCCGAUGUGCUUGCGGGAUAGGGAUCUUUGGCUUAUGCGGUGCCCACUGAUAUGCAACUGGGUGGUUGAGCUUCAUUUGCCACAUCGCGUGUAUCAUCAGUUUGGUCUGUUCCAGCCUCACCCGCCGGAAUGGGUGGACACGGACAAAGCAUUUCAUAGGUAAGAGAGCAUGAACCAUAUUGACUAAGCAUCGCCACUCCUUCUUGAUUGUGCUAAUGUUUGGUUUUCUACCGUGCAGGUUGGACAGUAGAAAGCAGCGGAAGAUAAAUGACUAGGACAAGCAUCAUUCAUCGUAUGUUACCCAUUUCCAUCUUAGUGUGGAGCAAGCUCGUAACAGUGCAUACGCCCAGCUUCGUGAGCAUAGCUCACUUGCUUUCGAUAACUACAUACGAUGGUUUCUUGAAAAUGCUCGAGUUGAGAUAUGCCCGCUGGCAUACAAUGAUGAUAUUCUUGAAGAUCCCGCAAACUUUGAGGAUAUAUCGAAGCAUCAGUACAAAAAAAUGUCAGGGAAGGGGUAGGAGUCCCUGCUGUUCCGGUGAUUAACUAUGUGGUAAAGUGUUCCCUUCUUUACUUUCCCGUUGGCCGUAUUACACAUGUUUGAAUGGCUAACGUGUUACUUCGUUCUCAUCCGCAGCGCAACCAGAUCAAGAAAGCAGCCGAUGAAAGCCAGUCUAUUCUGGAGAAGACACCGGUUGGAGAAGGCAAUGAUGAAGGUCCACUACAAAAAUUCCUCAAGGUACAUAUCACACUCAGGUGUCCAUGUUACAUAUGUUGCGGAGUUGGGUAUCUUAUACACUUGUUCAUGUUACAGCGUCAGGCCAAGAAGUUAAGGCGGUUAUCGAACCUUCUUGGUUGCCGUGACCUAGAAUAUGAUGAACCAUCUGCCUCUAGGUCUGGUACACCAUCAGACCCCUUAUCUCACCAGCAGGGGGACGAUGUGACUUCCUCAUAUGCUUAUGUGGAUGAUGAGGGUGCGGUCACCCAAGAGGUAUGACUAAUCUUUUAGAUGCAAUUCUCACUUGAUUACGACGCCGGUACCAUAUUGUUUGAUUGUGUGAUAGGUUGAUGGACUUGAUGAUGACAUUACUUUGGCGGACCUCAAGUUCGGUCCGCAUACAUGUUGAAGCGUAGGCAGCCCAUAAGCCGGUUCACGCCCACCGACUUGGACAACAGAGGCAACCCAAAGGUGGUCAUAGGGAGCUCGCAGAUGGCGAGCUUGGAUGAUGAGGCGGAGGAGGAAGAGGAGGCUCCUCCUGCCAGAAGGAAGAAGAUAACCACCAGGCGUGGCCGCAGGAACACGCGCGGAAGGCAUUAAUCGUUGUCGUUUUUAUUAUGAAACUGAACUUGUCGUCGUUUCAUUAGGUUUAUGAACUUGUGAGGUUAUGUGAUAUGUUAGUGAACUCUUAGUAGUGUGCUACUUGUGUUUGCGAACUUGUCGUUGUGAAUUGUCUUAAAUGAUGUGAUGUUCAAGUUAUUACUUGUGUUUGUUCAAAUUGCUAUGAAGUUCAAGUUAUUGUAAGUGUUGUGAUGUUCAAGCGAAUUGAAAUUGCUGUCAACGACUUCUCUUUUUGCAGUUUUGCAGUUUCCAGAUGUGCAGCGCCCAGGGCUCAGGCGCUGCACUAUACUGUGUAGCGCCCAACAGUCAGGCCCUCACACAUUGCUCAAAGGCCCAAAAUGCACGGCCAAAUACUCGGACGGUCCUCCCGUUGUGAAUCAAUGUUUGGUGCCCAUGAGGCUCGACCACGUGAACCAUGCCUGGGUUUGUGGCAGCCAUAGCUAACAACAACCUAGGGAGUCGGUUGUAUAAUUCCUCCCAAUUGCCAUACAACAUCUUGAAUGUGGCUUGCUUCGCCUUCCAUGCCUUGCCGUACUUCACCUUGUAAUGAAAGAUGGCUUUCACAAGGUCAAUGACACUCUUAAUGCUCAUUGUUGGAAGUGUGGGUAUUUGGUUGAAAAACCUGUAAGCGAUGAACUCGGACUUGUGUUGUCUGUGUUCUUGGGACACAAGCUUGCCAUCCGCAUUCUUGUGUCGGCACAUAUGACUUGGUACACAACUCACUAUGCGCCAAGUGGGACCUCCUUUCCAUGGACUUGCACGCACAAUCCAUGGACAUCUUGGCACUUCACAUUUAACCGUGUAACACACAUUGACGUUCGAGUUUGCCACUCUAUGUGGACGAUAAUGCGUAACCAAGUAGUUGUCGAGCCACAUCUUCAAUUCCAAGAAGGAUUCAAACUCACAACCGUGAUAUAUCCCGUUCUUGCCGUCUUCCAAAUCAUGGUGAGAACUUGGCCUACCUCCAAGAGAUAUACAUUUGCCACCACCUACACCGGCUUCAUCCGCAAGACUAAGAUCCUUGAACAAUGGUGUCUUGUGAUCCCGCCGGAAUACCUUCUUAAAUGCUCCGACCUCCUUCGCCAUGAACCCCUCCUCAUCAACUUCUUCAUCGGGACCAUCGUCAUCCGAGUCCGAUGCAUAUGAACGGGAAAAAGGGAUGGAUUGGUCCAUUGUCUCUUGCACAUGAUAUUUGUUGAGAUCACCCACAUUGUUGUCAUGGAGAUCAACUUCGUUGUCAUCCUCCUCGUACUCAUCAUUCUCCUCUUCAAAAGCUUCAUUUUGGUUGUUUGAAAUCAGGCUCAAUGUUGGCCAAACUUGUUGCGUCAAAUGAGGUUCACUCAUUUGAUCUUGGUUCAUGGGUGAGGGAGUACUAGCAACCAACGGGGAGGGGUUCCAGUUCAAGUCCAAAUGCAAACUAGACUCAACCUUCUUGGAGGCAAAUAACUCAAGAGCCUUGUCUAGAGAUUCGGCAACCGUCUCCUUGUAUGCAACCCAGCGUUGCUCGGAGUUCACACGCAUUGUCUUCCAACAGAUGUGCAUUCCAAAACAAACAUUAUGCCUUCCCUCCAACUCAACAACGUCACUUGGGUCCAUCCAAUUUAAAUCCUUCCUCACUUGUUCCAAGACAUCCGCAUAGUUAGGACUACUCUCAAACACCAUGUCAAGCUCAUCCGGGUCCGACUCAACAUUGCCUUUCAAAAGGCCUCUUUAUCCACAUGAUGAACAUAAACACAUGUUCUUCCCAUCCCUAAAAUAAUCAAAAACACACAUAUAUCAAAUAAGUACUUAACCGAAUAUUUGCACAAAAUACAUAAGCCCUAACAUAGAUAUGAAACAAUAACCCUAACCCCAACUUAACAAUAACCACAACCCUAACCAUAGCAUAACCCUAACCCUAACCCCAACAUAACAACACACAUAACCCUAACCCUAGCAUAGUAGGAAGCCUAACCCUAGCAAAUUGGCAAAGAAACAUAACAUGUUCCAACACAAAUUUCCAAAUCAAAGCCAAAACUAGGGUUUUCCCAAACUAGCAAGAUUUGAGCAAAUGUGACAAUUCCUAGAAGAUUUCACAAAACCAUUAUCGCUUAGCUUUUGACUUUUCGGGAAUAUAUUGGCGGAUGAAUUAGUCGUUGUUGUUCUUGUUUCUUUAGUCCCCUUAGUAAUCCCUAUACCGGUCAUGUUUCUUGGAUUAUUUACAAGCGGUAUUCAAGCUCUUAUUUUUGCAACAUUAGCCGCAGCCUAUAUAGGUGAAUCCAUGGAGGGUCAUCAUUGAAUUGACUCUUUUUGGAAAUAGUAUUUUUUUUGCAGCUUAGCUCAAUCAUGCAUGGUUCCUAUGGAUGAAAAAGAGGGGGUCGGAGGAGAUUACCUUAAGGGAGGGGUUGGCUUUGAAAUCCACGGACAAAUACUCCGGAUUUGCAAGAUUNNNNNNNNNNNNNNNNNNNNNNNNNNNNNNNNNNNNNNNNNNNNNNNNNNNNNNNNNNNNNNNNNNNNNNNNNNNNNNNNNNNNNNNNNNNNNNNNNNNNNNNNNNNNNNNNNNNNNNNNNNNNNNNNNNNNNNNNNNNNNNNNNNNNNNNNNNNNNNNNNNNNNNNNNNNNNNNNNNNNNNNNNNNNNNNNNNNNNNNNNNNNNNNNNNNNNNNNNNNNNNNNNNNNNNNNNNNNNNNNNNNNNNNNNNNNNNNNNNNNNNNNNNNNNNNNNNNNNNNNNNNNNNNNNNNNNNNNNNNNNNNNNNNNNNNNNNNNNNNNNNCAGAAAGUGCAGCGCCUAAAGGACCGGGCUGCACAUUACAUGUGUGGCGCCUAGACCUUAGGCGCUGCAUAUUACAUGUGUGGUGCCUAUGCCUUAGGCGCUGCACGGCUGGAUGUGGGGCCGCGCCUGGCCCCGGGCUGCCACGCUGGCCCGGCGUGUGGCGCCCAAGAGCCUGGUGCUGCACAGUAUAGUGUGGCGCCUAGCUGUCAGGCGCCACACAAAACGGUAAGUUUAUGAUUUUUUUCAAGGACAGUUCAGAUCGUGAAUUGAUUUCACCAACAGGUCAAAUAUGUGUUUUUUGCCCUUUAGGAAGGCCUUGUCCUCUGCCGACAUGGUCUUUUCGAUGGGAUGGCAAGACCGGAAGAACUCCUCGCUGCGUCCAGGCCCGCCGCCCUCCUCUCCAAGCAUAUCUUCUCCUUGGAAACCUUGAUGAGAGCCGACAAGACUUCCACCCGGACUGCAUCUUGCUCUUCUCUUCUAGGAUCGCUCCAUCAAGCGCUUCAAUAUCCCUAUCACUGAAUUCUUACACCUCACUGCUUUCCUCUUGGCUUGGAUCUGGCGUGUCUACGAUAUAGUAGGACUGGACCGAGGUCGCCUGCCACGUGCCGAUAGGCAGCAUGGCUCGCGGUUGGCUGUCAGUCGACUCGCACAUCUCCUCGUCAUGAACAUCCAACUCCUCAUUUGCCUCGAGGAUGGUGGUGAGAUAUUCAAUGUUGGUGAUUAAGUGGGUUGUGGGUGGGCCAAAAAAUUUCGCAUGCUGCUCCUAGGCCUCACAUGACGUCAGACCUUGGAGAAGGAGCUCGUUGCGUGAAUCUGCGGUGUACUCCAGAUUGCUUAAUCGAACGAUCUGUCCUGGGGCACAGCUCUCGACUUGGCCCAAGCGGCUGGUUGAGUCGGCGACAAAGGUCAUGGCGCCGAAUGAAGAUCUAACCCGACGUGUAGAUCGUGUCGUCGUCAGCUACCAAUCCCAUCUUAGCACUGAGUUCACCAUGCGGGACCUGCAUGGCCACCACUGUCGGAGCUGAUUCCCUCAGAUCCCUAGAUAGGGUAUCCCGGUGAGGUGAGUAAAUCAGAGGGGAAACAUGAGACAUGCAUAUUUACCUAGGUUCAGGCCCUCCUUACGAGGUAAAACCCUAUUGUGAUUACGGUGUACAAAGUACAUGUAUUAGUCUUAUAUAAGAUAUCGGGGCCCCUAGAGUUACAUGAACCUAGUCGGCUAUGUUGGUGGAGGGGAGUCCGCCAUGUCUUUGGCUUCCUUAUCCUGAGCAACAAGGCUUCAAGAGUUUUCCUUCUAUAAGUCCCAUGGGCCAGCAUGACGACCCAUGGUGAAACCGGCCUUGGAGGCCUCGGGCCGGCCUACUCAGGCUGACAACCAGAGAGGUACGACACCCUUCACCGUAACACCAUCACAACCUGUGUUGAAGCCAUUGCUUGUCACGAGGCUAUGUGUUUGUUAUAGGAUCUUCAAGUGAGCGUGGGAGUGGUCACUUCAGAUUGUACUGGCAUAGUGCAGGACAUCCAUGAGGAAAAAGGAGGUCAACAUGGACUGAUCAUCAAGGAAAUUAGAGCUAUGGAAGAUGGUGCAGGGGUAACCCCCUUCCGCCAUGAACGUCAUGGGUCAAAUGUGGAUGCUCAUCCAGUUUCAGAAAAAAAAGUGGAUGCUCACAAUAUAGGAGAAAACUCUAGUUUUAUCACCAGAUAGGCAUGUCUAGUUGCUUGAGCCCCCGUGGUAUAUGUAAACUCUAUGAUUGAUUAUUAAAGCUCGGGUGUGUUAUUCUAAAAAAAUGUUUUGGAGCAUUGGUUUUUCUUUUUGCCCAGAUCUCCACGAAUGUCAUUCCAUCACGAAAAUCUGCAUGCUUGUGGAAUAUACAUGAAUGUUUGUUGCCAAAAAAAUUCAGAAUUUUUAUUUUUUUACACUUUUUUGUUACUGUUCCGAAUGGUGCAUGUGAGCUCAUGCUCACAAACUCCAUGUCCCACUCUAACAAAUCAACUCUCGGGUUGGAAAUAAUAAUUUAUAUUGAUUUCUUCUUCUGUGAAUUGAGUCUUCCAAAUGAUAGACAACUCUACAUUUGGUCUUAUAGGAAUGAUAAUAGAUGGAGCACAUCUCUUUAGAAUACUACUAGGAAAGGAGCACAUGUGUUGCAACGGGGUAAUAAAAUUAUGCUCUUCAAAUUGAGUGACCCAUAACAUAAUACCCAUAAUAUACAACCCUCGUUGUUAAUUCAAAUCAAUAAUACAGAUGUUUGUUGCACUUAAUAAUUAAACAUGCUAAUAUAAUACAUUUAAUUGAUGGACUACAUGACCCAAGCUUAUAGACCGGUUGUCAUGAACCAAAAUGAAUCAAACUGAUUAAGUGGUUGAUAUGUAUAAGGUCAAUGAAACCAUUGAGAGUGGCAACUACAAGCUCAACGCACCGUGAGGCUUAAGUUCUCUUAUUGCAGACAUGUGUAGCCAGUGCUACUAACAUCAUUAAGCCAUCAUUAUUAGGGGUAGUAGUGCAUAGUCUUCUUCAUAGGUUGUGAUUUGUGAAAUACUCUCGCAGUACAUUGUCUUGUUACACCGUCCUGUGCCGUCGUCUCGUCAAGUCCUAAUCGGGAGCAGUGUUCAGCUGAUAAGAACUCUACCAGAAAGUAAUGGCAAUCAAGCUGGCAUUGUAUCAGUGCAUGCUCAUAAAUCACACAUACAGUUGGCCUCUCCUCACAAAUAUGCAAGACACAGAAAACAUGUGUUAUCGUUAAUUGACUACUGGAUAGUUUUGAUACAAUAAAUCAGUAUAAAAAAGCACAGGCAAAUGGAGAAAAUAUGAACCUAUGGCGUUGCACUCGCUCCUCCUCACUAACCUUGGUGACUUGGCUGUCUUCAUCUAAAUUUCCCAAGAUCUUUUCUGAUGGCCCUUUUGGUGCACCAACUCAAAAUUACAAGAAAUAGGACACCCUUCUGCUUAUCGGUCUCGGAAUUGGCACAACUCCUUUGGUCAGCAUACCGAAGGAUGUCCUGAACAACAUGAAGUCCAAUAAGGGAACGUAAUGACUGAAAGUUCUUUCUCAUACAUGAGUAGAGAUGCACAAUGCCUAAACUGGAUUCAACAGGAGCAGCAAAGCAUGGAUGACGACGAGUUAGGCAGCACCUUCAAGGGCAACGGGCCAAGCCGAGCAUACUUCUGUUGGGUUACCAUGGAACAAGCGGCUCGUUUGAAUGGUUCAAAGGUGAUAUAGGUGAAGUUGCUGAAAGUGAUGACGGUAUACUAGGCAACCGCAACAGUUUCGGUAAACAACAACGUCCCACAUAGCACAGAUUUGUAGAAGGAAAAUAACUUAAUCUCUUGCUGUACAGAAUGCAAUACAGAUGCGCAGCUACCUUACAAGUGUGUAUGAGGAAGGAGAUGCGUGGUCAGCUCUGAUUGCCAUGGUUCAGUCUCCCCAACAUGGUAGCAAGGUUUCUUCUUCUUCUCCCUUCUCACUCCCACUGUUACCUGCAAAAAGUUUCAGAUACACCAUGGUUGCUUCCUCUCCUGACUGCUACAUCACAGAUCCGCACACUUUGCAAGGCCAAACUGGAGAAAGGCGCGCUCUGAUUUGGCCAGUACCCACGAGAACCCACGUAUAGGCCAGUCACAUUUGAUUAAAUUUUGCUUGGCUGUGCGCCUGAUCAAAAUUUAAGUGACGAAUCCUACUUUACAUUACACAAAGACACUUAAAUUUUCUCCCUGUUUACAAUAUGAAUAGAUGGACACCCAAUAUGAAUCAAACAGUGACGAAUCAUAUUGUAAACUCCGCAUAAGUCUGCAGGUUUUUUCUACUGUGGAUCUCCCACGCUUACAGAAGUAGUCACGGAUGUUGCAGUAGAAUUCACCUUCUGCUUCCUCCUCUUACCGGCUCUCGUCAGCGGCAGCAGGGGAGAGGCGGCUGUAGCGACGUAUCCCGGUCGGACCCGUGCGUGGAGGAGACUUGCUCGGAUACACGGCCUUGCCUGACACAGACUCCCCAUGAAUCGCCCUCCUUUUGCCACAUAAAUAGGCCUCGAGCCCUCUACGGAAGCAUCCAAUCUCGCGGUCUGCAAUCUCGCCGUUCUAUCAACUCCGCCGGACGCCGUGCUCCAUAUGCGGACAUGAUGCCGUCGUAAAAUCUCGCGGUUCUACCAACAUCGCCGGACCGCCCGUGCUCCAUCUGAGGUACGCCUGAUCUCUCGUGCCAAGCUAAAUUCGGUUCUGUCGUUUUGAAGAGCACAUGAUUUUUGCUGCGUGUCUGCACUCUGCAACCAUAGCUGCCAUCAUCAUCAUCAUCAUUACCUUGCCCGUAUACGGACAGUCUGCACUCUUUAGGCCUCAUACACACUAGAGAGUACUACUUCAUAGUGGCGGCUGGUAGUUCCAAUAUCUGGAGAAAGAACCAUGCUAUACGUACGACAAUUCACGUACGAGGAGCAGAUCAACCUGUAUAUCAGCUGGACUCUAAGUCCAGCAACGGCUGGAUGUUGCAUCGUACCAAAUCGGACAAGUCAUGUUCGUACGUGUAGUAGUUUCGCUGGAGAAAGAACCAUGCUAUACGUACGACAAUUCACGUACGAAUUAUAUCCGAUGGAGCAGAUCAACCCGUAUAUCAGUUGGACUCUAAGUCCAGCAACGGCUGGUCAUCGCUCUUUUGUAUAUUUUUAUUCUCUUUCCUUUACAGUAAAACAUACACCAUGCUCGCAUUGUUGCAUCUUGCAAUUAGUUCCAGAUUUGCUCGUGGGUGUCAUUCGAGGUCAGAGUAAUUAUUUAGGCAGUGUGCCAACUUUAGGCCCCCUCUGUUGAAAUCCAAAAAUCCAGUAGCUUAUGCAGCCUAUAAGUAGCUUCUAUUGAUUAGUAGCUGAUUUCUGUCAUAAUGAAUAGCUGGACACACCCACUAUUUACAUAUUAUUAUAAUUUCUCCCUGUUUGGUUGAACUCCAUGUUGAUUGCACCUUCGCACAAUAUAAAAUAUUAUUUUGGUUGUUAUUGCAGAAAAUGAAUGACAGCGCUGACUUGACCAUUGUUGUGGAUUUUGAUAACCGACCUUAAAAAAGCCAAAUUUUCUGAGUCGGAUGUUUUGGAGCCAUCACCUACGCCACCAACCAUCUCAACAUUAUCUUUUGGUUUUUGAAUGUUUUGAAUCGAUUACUCUGGUAUUAAAUAGAUGUUGAUCCAUUGCGAUGACCUCCGUUACCAACCAGAUCGACAUCACCUCCGGUUUCUGAAUGUAUGCAUGAAAGACAAGUUUAUUCGAUGAUGAUAAAGCAACCAGAGGAAUAUGAAGAAAUAAAAGUUGAUGAAACAUACAACUACUUCCCAAUAGGUAAUUGUUUAUGACGUGUACUUUUGUAUCUAGCGUCUUAAAUGCCUUUUUGUUAUUUAAUAUUAUUAUUUCUGUAUGUGCACGGUUAAUCCAUAUUUACACAUGGAUUUAUUCAAUAUUCUUUCAAAUUAUUUUACCUUUUGCAGAUUAUGCACUGACCAACCAUGAUGUAUGUGCUCAUAUAGCAAUGGAAACAUUUUUUGAAAAAACAAUUACUGGUGAAGAUAGAUGAAAUAUCUGUCAAAAAGCAUCGCUAGAUGAAAAAGGGGUGGCUAAACGAUGAUGUAAGUACCCUUACUUACAAGGAGAAGUCCAAUUAUUGAUAUCCACUAGUAAUGUCUUUUUCAAAAUCUUUUUACGUAAUCAACACAUAUGUAUGUUGUAUAGAGGACCAAGUACAUGUUCAAAAUGAUAGUAAAGUAUUUCAGAAUCCCUUUGUUACCGCACCGUUAAAAAGGGAGAUCAACCUUGGAAUACAUGAAGAUGGUACCUUUAUGAAAAAGAUUGUCAAAAACUUGUGAAGCAUGACAUGGUAACAUCCAUAUCCUUAAUUAAUAUGUUCUGGGUUUAAUACAUAUUUAUUAGUAAUUUUACUAAUAAUCUUGAAAAAGAUUGUCAAAAACUUAUGUGAAGCAUGACAUGGUAACAUCCAUAUCCUUAAUCAAUAUGUUCUGGGUUUAAUACAUAUUUAUUAAUAAUUUUACUAAUAAUCUUGAUUAUAGAAUGAAAACUUUCAAUAAAUAUGAACAACACACAUUGCUAUUUAACUGUUGUGAACGCGAAAAAUUGUGAGAUUAAAAUGCUAGACUCAUUGUGUUUCAGGUUAGACCGAGAUGAUCUCACUAUUACGGUUGGUUACUACAUCAUAAACUGAUCCUUCGCUUAUGUGUAUUAUUUCCGAUCACAUAUUUCAGCUACAAGGAUUACAAUAUCAAUUGGACAAUAUUAACUUGAUAAGCCACAAUUGGAAAGACUUCGAUGUUACUAAAUGGAAGAUUACAAAACAACUAUGGAAGCCAAUUCAAAAAGACAAGUAUAAAGCAACACAUAUGUUCUAUACUAUUAUAAGUAGUAUUGUGAUCUAUCUAGGGUACUCAUUUUUUUAAUUAUACAGUUCACCCCAUGGUCUAUUAUGCUUAAAUUCGUGCAAUAUUAGACCAGAUAUGCACUAUCUUAUCCGAUUACACAUGUAUAUAUCUCUUUUGUUUGAGAAAUAUAUAUAGUUGAUGAUAUGUUCAUUUUUAUGAUAUACUAAUAAUUGUUGGUGUUGCAUAGGAAAUUAUUAAUUCUUUUAGGUAUUAGUUAGCCAGCAUACUAUUAUGUUAAAAACAAACACCGUGGCAAUGACUACAAUGAUUGAACAAAGUGAUGAUGACAUUGAGGGAGAUCCUAAUGAAAUGUUGGAAAGUCCAUUUGAUAAAAUAAAAAUCAAAAGCAAUAAUCUCAUUAUCUAUGAAAAUAAAUACCAAUCACUAAUAUUUGUUCUUUCAAACACGAGCUUACAUGAGUUACUAGGUAAACUUUGUAGCUACAUCAAAUCAAUCGAUUCUAUAAAGAUUUUAUUGUAAGUUAUUUCAAAUUAGUGGUGCAAUUGACAACACACAUUAUCUUAUUUUCUUAUGAGUUUGGGACAAGGCAAAACCUUGAUUUUGUAGUCCCCAAGGUUUUGGACUUGCCCCAAACUCAUGAAAAAAAUAAGAUAAUGUUUAUGUUUGUUGUCUAUUGCACUACUAAUUUGAAAUGAAUCACUCUAAAAUAUCUAUAGAAUUGAUUGAUUUGAUGUAGCUACAAAGUCCACCUACUAACUCAUCUAAGCUCAUGUUAGAAAGAACAUAUAUUAGUGAUCUGUAUUUAUUUUCGACAAAUAAUGUGCUUAUUGCUUUUUAUGUUUUUGUAUGAUAUGGACUUUCCAACAUUUCAACAUCAUUAGGAUAUCCAUCAAUGUCAUCGCCAAUUUGUUCAAUCAUUGUAACCGUGGCUCCGGUGUUUGUUUUCCAACAUAAUAGUAUAUACUCGCUAACUUUAUACCUAAACGAAGUGAUAAUUUCCUAUGUAACACCAACAAUUAUUAGUAUAUUAUUGAACAAAUCAUAUAUGUUUAUCAAACAAAAGCGAUAUAUACAUGUAUAAUCGGACCGGAUAGUGCAUAUCCAGUCCAAUAUUCCAUGAAUUUAAGCAUUAGUAGACCACGAGAUGAACUGUAUAAUUAAAACAAAAUUAUUACACAUCAAUUAUUACGUAUAUUGGUAUAGAACACAUGUGAAGCUUUAUAUCAUAUCUUUUUGAAUUGGCUUUCGUAAUUGUUCUGUAAUAUUCUAUUUAGUAACAUCUAAGUCUUUCCAAUUAUGGCUAAUGAAGUUUUAACUUUCAAGCAUGUCCAAGUGAUAUUUUAGUUCUCAUAGCUGAAAAUUAAUUAAUGAUCAGAUUUAAUACACACAAGCGAAAUUUCAUAUAAUAAAGGAUAAUAAAUGAUGUAGUAACUAACCGUAAUAGUGAGAUCAUCUUAGUCAAACUCGUAACACAAUGAGUCGAGUACUUGAAUCUCACUCUUUUGCAUUCGCAACAGCUAAAUACCAAUGUGUGUUAUUCAUAUUUAUUGGAAGUUCAAUCUGUAAAAGACAAUCAGUUAAACUAUGAAUAACAAUGUAUGGAACACAAAACAUGAAAAUUAUGUAUAUGGAUGUUACCAUGUCAUGCUUCACAUAGUUUUUGACAAUCUUUGUCAUAAAGGUACCAUGUUCAUAUAUUUCAAGGUUGCCAUCCUGUUUUAACGGUCCGUUAACAAAAGGAUUCUCAAAAUAUACUUUACUAUCAUUCUGGACAUGCACUUGGUCUUUUAUACAAAGUUUGACCAAAUUUAUAUAUUGAAAAAAAUAUCAGCAUUGUCUACAAUGCUUAAGUUAUAUACCAAAAAGGCUUUCGCCCCGCUUUAUAAAUAAAGCAAACCGUCCAAGAGCACACAUACACGGACUAGUCCAAACACACACACCCAAGUCUCACAAGAGGAAGUACAAUAGGUUCUGCUGAGGGCACAGUUUAAGUUAUAUAGUAUGAAAUUUAAUUUCAUGAUGCAUCUAAUGAAAUUAAAUUUUAUCUAAUAAACAUAUGCAUUUUGUAACGUAAAUGUUGAUUUUUUUCCCUAUAAAGUUGUUCAAAAUUUCCAAAGUUUGACUUCAGACAAAUUUUAUAUGGAAACUAAAAGGAAACCGAAGGAGUACCAAUGAUGAUGAGAAUAAAUGAUGUUUAUUUUUUUAAAUAGAACCUAGCGGAGAGCCUGUCCGGCCGCAGAUCACCAUGUUAGGUUGAUCUCUCUCCCGUUCGAACCCAACGGGUCGAACGGGCCCUUGACUCGCGCCCUGAUCGGGGGCGUCCAACCAAACCAUGGUUGGUGGGCCCUGUGACCCGCGCUAUAUAAACAGAGGUGGGGGCCGGGGCACGACUUACGAGGUUAAUCGCUGCCACAAUCCCCACCUACAAUCCCUACCGAUCUAGGGUUAGCGCGGUGCUCACGGGAAGUUCCACCACCUCGCCCACUCUCCGCCAUCGCCGUGCGCCCCAGCACCACGAUGGCCUCCGGCUCAAGUUCAUCCACUGCCGGACAAGGUAGGUUCACCGGAUCUACUAGCCUACUCCGAUCCAAAGAAUCUAUCAAUGGUAUCAGCCAGAUCGGGCUAGUUGAUUUCGGUACAAAGAAACAAACACAGAAAAAGUCUCUGAAAAUGCAAAAAGAAUUUUUUUAGAAAAUAAAUGUUCAUGAAUUUUAUAAAGAAAAUUAAUAAAGUUCAUGAUUUUAUAUUCGGUCAUAGAAAAGUUUCUGUAAAAAGUAAAAAGUUCGUGAAUUUUUAUUCAUGUUUUUCCGCUGCGUAAAUAAUUAAUGCUCUUUUACAAAGAAAAUAAAAGUUUACAUAGUAUUAAGUUUUUAAGAGCAUGUUAAAGUGAUUAUUAAAAUGAAUAUGAUUAUGUUAUUUUUAUGACCAACGUUGUUAAUAACAUGAUCAUGUUUUAUUAUUGAAAUUUAAAGGUGCAUUUAUUUCUAAUUUUUGCCCAAUGGUAAUAUAGAUUUAAUUGCAUAGACAAUUAUAUGUUUAAUUUGACCAACGUUAGAUUAAUGCAUAUUAUUGUUAUAUUGAUGUCACUUAAAUUGUGAUUUCAGGAGGCUUUCACUUGAUGAGUUGCCUAAAAGAAGUUCCGACACUCAGAGGUGACAACCACACUGAGUGGAGGAAGAAAGUUGAACUGGCGUUUGUUUGUGCUGAUCUUGACUGGGUUGUGGAGAAACCACAGCCGGUCAGACCCACAGAGCCAGUAAGAGAGGCCACUGAUGAUGAUGCUGCAUGGGCUAAAAAGAAAGGGGACUAUGCUCCUUUGGAGCAGUCCUACCUCAUAGAUAAUCAAAAGUGGGUCAAUGCAAAUAAAAAAUGCAUGGCCUUUAUAAAGAACACCAUUGAGAGCGCCAUUGUGGGCUCCAUUGCAGAGUGCACUUCCGCAGGGGAGUUGCUCUCAAAGAUAAAGAACCAGUUCACUGGCUCUUCAAAGAUAUAUGCCACCCAGGUGUUAGAGCAACUGGUGACAGAAAAAUACACAGGUGGUAGUCAUGGCAUAAGAGAGCACAUCCUCAGGAUGAGCAAUAUGGCAGCAAAGCUUAAGCCCAUGGAUGCGGAUCUGGAGAUCAAACCAGCGCUCCUGGUCCACCUUGUCAUGGCUUCACUACCCAAGGAGUUUGAAGCUUUUGUUGUGAACUAUAAUAUGUCACCUGGAACAUGGGACGUUGAAAAGACAAUAGCAAUGUGUGUUCAAGAAGAGGAGAGACUCAAAGCCUCACAUGGUGGUACACUCAACUAUGUGCAGGGUCACAAAAGAAAGAAUUACAAUCAAAACAACAAAAGUUCUCCUUCAAAGCCACAAGGAAAAGUUACCUAUCAGCAUCAGCGUCAGCAACAGCCUUUCUCAGUGGACAAAGACACUUGUCUCCACUGUAAGAAGACCGGGCAUUACAAGAAAGACUGUCCUGUUUGGCUAAAGUCGAUCAUGGCAAAAAGAGGUAACAAUAUAGUUUCAUUUGUAAAUGAAUCCCUGUAUGCACAGUUUUCAAAAUCCACUUGGUGGAUUGACUCAGGAGCAACUGUUCAUGUUGCAAAUUCUUUACAGGGAUUCCAUUCGACGCGGACUACACUAAAAAGCGAAAGACGCAUUGAAGUGGCGAACGGAGUUGAAGCAGAAGUUGAAGCUGUCGGUGAUAUCUCCUUGGAGUUAGCUGAUGGAUUCAAUCUUCUACUUAGAGAUGUUUUAUUUGUUCCAUCAUGUCAUAGAAACUUAAUAAGUGUUUCUUGCUUGGACAAAGAUAAUUAUGAGUGUUAUUUUGGACAUGGCAAGUGUGCCAUUUGGUUAAAUAAUGCUUAUGUGGGUGAUGCUUUACUACAUGAUGAGCUUUAUUUGUUAUCACUUCGUGAAAAAGUUUAUUCCGUUUGCAAUGUGAAAGAACAUGUUUUUGCGUCGAAUAAAGAACAAAAGAAAAGAAAAAGAACAUUUGACUCAUCGAAAUUAUGGCACUGUCGCUUGGGCCAUAUUUCGAAGGGGAGAAUAGAAAGAUUAGUCAAAAGUGAAAUUCUUCCUCCGUUAGAAUUUUCAGACUUAGAACAAUGCAUAGAUUGCAUUAAAGGAAAGUACGUAAAACAAAUCAAAAAAGGUGCAAUCCAUAGCACAGGCACACUAGAAAUCAUUCACACUGAUAUUUGUGGACCAUUUCCGGUGAAAAGUGUGGAUGGAUAUGACUCGUUCAUAACAUUCACAGAUGAUUACUCUCGCUAUGGUUAUAUUUAUCCAAUCAAAGAAAGAUCGGAAGCGUUGGAUAAAUUUAAAAUAUUCAAAGCUGAAGUUGAAAAUCAGCACGAUAAAAUAAUAAAGAUAGUAAGGUCCGACCGUGGGGGAGAGUACUACGGUCGACACACUCCAUAUGGCCAAGUCCCUGGACCUUUUGCGAAGUUCUUGCAGGAGACUGGCAUAGUAGCCCAGUAUUCAAUGCCGGGCGAGCCUCAGCAAAAUGGAGUAGCUGAAAGGCGCAACCGUACCCUUAUGGAUAUGGUGCGCAGCAUGAUGAGUUAUUCCAACUUGCCAUUGGGAUUAUGGAUGGAGGCGCUUAAAACCGCCAUUCACAUUCUCAAUAGAGUACCAAGAAAGUCGGUGCCCAAAACACCGUACGAGCUAUGGACAGGAAGGAUGCCCUCCCUACAACACUUCAGGGUGUGGGGGUGCCCUGCUGAGGCCAAAAUGUUUAAUCCAAACAUUGCAAAGUUAGAUCCCAAAACAUUAAGUUGCCACUUCAUUGGCUAUCCAGACAGAUCAAAAGGUUUUCGUUUCUACUGCCCUGACAGAUAUACAAAGUUUGUAGAAACGAGGCAUGCAGUCUUCUUAGAGGACGAAAUGAUGAGGGGGAGCUUGGUAGCUCGGAAAAUUGAUCUUGAGGAGAAGAGGGUGCAUGCACCUAAUCCGAUGAUUCAGGAGCCAUUUUUCUCACUACCAGUUGCAACUCCACCCAUGACAGCUAUGGGGGAAGACCCGAAACCUGUCCGUCAGGAGCCGACUGAACCCGUUGUUGAGCAUGAAAGGGAGGUGCAAUAGCAAAUUUUAGAAGAAGUGCUAGAAGUUGAGGCACAAAAUGUGCCAGAAACUGAGGCCCUUAGAAGGUCUACAAGACCAAGGAAGUCAGCUAUUUCUACCGACUUUAAAGUUUAUAACAGAGAAAUGGUUCAUAUGGAAAAAGAUCCCACCUCAUAUGAAGAAGCCAUGAGAAGCCCUCAUUCAUCGAAGUGGAUGAAGGCAAUGGAAGACGAGAUGAAAUCGAUGAGUUCCAAAGAUGUUUGGGACUUAGAGGAAAUUCCCAAAGGAGCCAAAACAGUAGGCUAUAAAUGGGUCUACAAAAUUAAGUAUGACUCUAAAGGGAAUAUAGAAAAGUAUAAAGCACGACUCGUGGCAAAAGGAUUUACACAAAGAGAAGGGAUAGAUUACAAUGAGACAUUUUCUCCAGUCUCAUGUAAGGAUUCCUUCAGAAUCAUAAUGGCAUUAGUUGCUCAUUUUGAUUUAGAGUUACAUCAAAUGGAUGUUAAGACGACAUUUCUGAAUGGUGAUUUAAAAGAAAAGGUCUACAUGAAACAACCCAAGGGUUUUAUCAUGGAAGGCAAGGAAAAUAUGGGAUGCCGCCUAAAGAAAUCCAUUUACGGAUUAAGACAAGCCUCUCGGCAGUGGUAUCUAAAGUUUAAUCAAACGAUUAAAAGUUUUGGAUUUAAAGAAAAUAUUGAGGAUAAUUGCAUUUAUGCAAUGUUUAAAAAUGGGAAAUAUAUUUUCCUAAUCUUGUAUGUGGAUGAUAUCCUGCUUGCUAGUAGUGAUGUUAGUCUACUACAAGAAACAAAGAAAUACUUAUCCUCAAAUUUUGACAUAACAGAUCUUGGUGAAGCAUCAUAUGUUUUGGGCAUAGAAAUUCACCGAGAUAGGAACAAUGGAGUCUUAGGACUAUCUCAACAAGCAUAUUUAGAAAAGGUUCUUAAAAAGUAUAAUAUGCAUGCGAGUAAAGCCACACCUGCUCCAAUAGUCAAGGGCGAUAGUUUUGGGAAAUUCCAAUGUCCCAAGAACCAGUAUGAGAUCGAUCAAAUGAAAGCAGUACCAUAUGCUUCGGCAGUUGGCAGCUUACAGUAUGCACAAGUGUGAACUCGCCCUGACUUAGCUUUUAUCACCGGGGUACUCGGUAGAUAUCAAGAGAAUCCAGGCCUAGAGCACUGGAAGAUGGUAAAGAAAGCAUUGCGUUAUGCGCAAGGCACGAAGGACUACAUGCUAAUAUACAGGAGAAGUGAUUCCCUAGAGAUAAAAGGGUAUUCAGACGCAGAUUUUGCGGGGGACAUAGAUGAUAGAAAAUCCACGUCAGGAUACAUAUUCACCCUCGCUGGGGGAGCUAUUUCGUGGAAAAGCUCCAAACAGUCGAUAGUUGCAUCAUCUACGAUGUAUGCAGAAUUCGUAGCAUGCUUCGAAGCCACGGGGCAGGCGAUAUGGCUAAAGAAAUUUGUACCCGACUUGAAAGUGGUAGAUUGUAUUCACAAACCACUAAAGAUGUACUGCGACAACCAGCCCGCGGUAUUUUACGCUCACAACAACAAGUCGAGUAAUGCUGCCAAAACAAUAGAGAUAAGGUAUUAUGUUGUGAAAGAUAAAAUCCAGGAUCAAACUAUAAGUCUCGAGCAUAUAAGGACAAAGGAUAUGCUUGCGGAUCCGCUAACGAAAGGCUUACCACCCAAUGUGUUCAAGGAACACUUAGCCGGCAUGGGUUUAAGGGAAAGCCUUAUGAUUCCUGGAUAGGCCCAAAAGGAACAGAAUUUGUUUCUGAACAUAACGUAUGUUGUAGCUGUAUGAUUCUAACGGCAAUUAAGUCGUGACGAUGAAACAUGCUCUAUGUACCAAUAUGUGAUGAAACAAAUAAACUAGAAAGUAUAAAGUUAAAAGUAAAGUUGAGAUCAAGGGGGAGAAUGUUAGGUUGAUCUCUCUCCCGUUCGAACCCAACGGGUCGAACGGGCCCUUGACUCGCGCCCUGAUCGGGGGCGCCCAACCAAACCAUGGUUGGUGGGCCCCUGUGACCCGCGCUAUAUAAACAGAGGUGGGGGCCGGGGCACGACUUACGAGGUUAAUCGCUGCCACAAUCCCCACCUACAAUCCCUACCGAUCUAGGGUUAGCGCGGUGCUCACGGGAAGUUCCACCACCUCGCCCACUCUCCGCCAUCGCCGUGCGCCCCAGCACCACGAUGGCCUCCGGCUCGAGUUCAUCUACUGCCGGACAAGGUAGGUUCACCGGAUCUACUAGCCUACUCCGAUCCAAAGAAUCUAUCACACCAGAGUGUAUCUUCGUGAACGCCCGCCCCAAGUUGGAGUGAUGUGUUCUUCACAUCCUUCAACGCGGUCGCCAUGGACGAGAAGUCGAGACCCUUCCGCGCGGCCGGUAUGGACCAGGGGUGGUUCUACCCGGAUGCCGCGCGGCCGCCGCCGACGAAGUCCUUCGUCGCGGCCGCCAUGGACACGAGGGCACCAGGAGGCAGGAGUUACGUAUCUGAUCUUUUUUUUCCUUGCAGCUGUUAUACGUAUCUGAUCGUGGAGCAAUGGAAACGUAAAAUGAAGGAGCGGGAUUGAGCAGCUGGGAUCGGAAACAGAGCGGCAGUGGGGUUGCGUGCUUUAAGAUUGGAGUUGGGAUGGACCCGAUCUCAGAAUUUAUUUUCCCAUCUUCUCCGCCUCCGCCUCCUCCUCCUCCGCUGCCUCCACCUCCGCCGAUGGCAGCCGCCACUCCAAGCAAAAGCAGCAAGGAGGUCAUGGCCUUCAACUAUCCCAGAUGCUCAUGCUGAUCCCGCGCUCUGUUAUCAGGGCUACGUUCAACUACGACCUCAGCGCUAUCGGCAAGAUUUUGAUGGCUAACGAUGGUCGUUCGGCCGCGGAACCAAUGGACUACGUAAGGAAGGUGCGCUCAAUUGCUUCUCGUGCCUCUUUAGCUUCUUUUCCUUUCCGAUUUUGAGCUUUCGUUCAACAGAUGUGCGUAUUUUGGAUCGGCUGAAAAUAGUUCAUAGAUCCCAUGAUCGGAGAUAUGUACGAGCUCUUUUAUGAUACCCUGUGUUACAUAUGGGCCGUCAAAUCGUAACAGUGAACGGUUGGGUAUAGCAUGCAUGCGCAGGUUUCUGUCGUGUCGAACUAGCCCACCCCGUCCUUGCCCUCCCAUUACCUUCCCCACCGCGUUCAGUAGGGAAAAAAACUAGGGUUCCGGCCAUGGCCGGCGUGCGCCUGCCAUCUAUGGUGGAUCAGGAGGCUGCCGAGCUAGGCCCCUCUUCCACUCCACCUACGCUGCGCUGCCCUCCCUCCUCUUCCUCCAUGCACGAGGCGCUCGAGGAGGACCCGACGCCACUGAUCCCUAGGGACGCUGUCGUGCUCCGGGACCGGCCGACGCUCACCCGCCAGUGCCCUCACCACGUCUUCUCCACGGAGGUCCCUGCCUGCGCCCUAGGCCGGAGCUGUGCGCCGACCUCCACUCCGGCAGCACGCGUCGCUUGAACCCGGCUUGGCCGCAUCACCGAUUUAAAGCAGCGCUUCUCGCUCACCGGGAACUAGACCGUCGCCGCCAGCCCCGGCGAGGACAGCUGGGCUGGCUAGGUGCAGGGCCUCGGAACCGACGUCUACUGCUCGUCUGCUACAGAGGCUGGUCAUGCUGGGCAGGCGAGGCCAUGGCGGCUGGCCGCCCUGCCCACUCUCUAGGAUUCCAGCCGCUGCCGACAUGCAAGGCAUCUUGAUUUUCCAUGUCAGUAUGUUUGUGACUUGUGUAUUGGCUCAAAGUUAAAUGACUACGAUUUUGAGAACUAGCAGAGCAUUGUUGAAAUAGAAAAUUACUCUCUCUGAUUGUUGUUCUAUAUGAGAAUUUCAUGCUUCUUAUAUGCUUGAGCCAAUUUGGUAGAUGUAAAAUUAGGUAAAUGGAAAGUUUGAUACAGUGAGUACAUUGCGAUUAAGUGUUUGUGCUUUUGUUUGACUUACAGUAUCUAAGAAGAAAGUAAAUAGGUAUUCACUGUAAUGUUCCAUUUGCCUCCGAAAUUCAAGACUUCAUGGCACACUUUUGCUACAGGAUGUGUAGGAUAAGGUAAAUGUUUUUUUUUUCUUUUUUUUGCUAUCUUGUGUUUCUUCCUAUAUGAUGAAAAUCUCUGCUUGGAGGGGAAAUGGUCAGUUGCCACUUUGAACCAUCUCAACUUGGAGGAUUGUAGAUUAUUAUGGGAGAUUGCCUAAAUUUGUCUCUGGACUACUGUAUUAUAGCAGGAUGCACAUGACCCUGAUAGAUUCAUACUAGACGUUAAUUACACAUUUAAUACAUAAACUUUCACUAGACGUACAGAUUCAUACAUAAACUUAAAAAUUGACACGAAUCGGCCAUACAACUUGUGUUUCGGGUAUGUUUGUUUGAGUGCAUUCCUUCAUUUGAGAAAAAGGGUUUCCCCCGCUUUGUAUUCCAAAGCACCGUCGGCACGCGGGAGGGCACAACCUCCACCGUCAACGACGGUAACCGACCGGACACACUAGCAGGAGCCUACCAGGCCCAUGUGCCCACAGGCCCGGCCGGGAACUCCAUUCCCGGAAAGCUCCUGCCAUCGCGCUGCAGCAGGCACGCCAUCGACAUCGCCGCCCCCCAUCCGAGCCGCUCCUCCUCCUCACCACACAGACGACGACGAAGCCACGCCAGGGACAGGCCCGCUAGGACCCAGAUGGGGCCGGGAGGGCCCAGAUCUGGGCCGGGGACGCGCCGCCGGCCACCGCACGCCACCACGCCGCCCUGCUGCCAAUGGCAGCACCGCCACCGCGCCUACCGCCGGCGACCGCUGCCGGGUCGCCGGGCCGCCGCCCAGCUGAGCAUCACCGCCNNNNNNNNNNNNNNNNNNNNNNNNNNNNNNNNNNNNNNNNNNNNNNNNNNNNNNNNNNNNNNNNNNNNNNNNNNNNNNNNNNNNNNNNNNNNNNNNNNNNNNNNNNNNNNNNNNNNNNNNNNNNNNNNNNNNNNNNNNNNNNNNNNNNNNNNNNNNNNNNNNNNNNNNNNNNNNNNNNNNNNNNNNNNNNNNNNNNNNNNNNNNNNNNNNNNNNNNNNNNNNNNNNNNNNNNNNNNNNNNNNNNNNNNNNNNNNNNNNNNNNNNNNNNNNNNNNNNNNNNNNNNNNNNNNNNNNNNNNNNNNNNNNNNNNNNNNNNNNNNNNNNNNNNNNNNNNNNNNNNNNNNNNNNNNNNNNNNNNNNNNNNNNNNNNNNNNNNNNNNNNNNNNNNNNNNNNNNNNNNNNNNNNNNNNNNNNNNNNNNNNNNNNNNNNNNNNNNNNNNNNNNNNNNNNNNNNNNNNNNNNNNNNNNNNNNNNNNNNNNNNNNNNNNNNNNNNNNNNNNNNNNNNNNNNNNNNNNNNNNNNNNNNNNNNNNNNNNNNNNNNNNNNNNNNNNNNNNNNNNNNNNNNNNNNNNNNNNNNNNNNNNNNNNNNNNNNNNNNNNNNNNNNNNNNNGGCGCGCGAGCCGGCGGCCGGCGGCGGCGGCGGAACCCUAGCGGGAGGGAGCGGACGGGAGCCUGCAUUCCUUCAUUUGCCGUUAACUCUCCGUUAAACUUUACACGCCGGCUGGUCGACGCUCCAUGUCUGCAUGUGGGUCUCACCUGUCUGUGGCAAAGGAAGAAAAUACAAACAUAAAAGUACAGUGCACUUAGACGGAACCGAAGUAAUGCCGUCCAGGCGCAAGCAACUGCAUUAAUACAAAGUUCCAUAAAACAUAUUCUAUAAUUUACAUAUUUUGUUAGGAAAAUUGAUUUGAAUGCUUUGCACGGCGUUUAUUUUUUCCUGGUUUACCGGAAGUUUUGGUGAGCCCCAAAUGUUCUUGUAUCGUUCAUAAAAACAUUUGUUAAAAAUUUGAAAGGUCAUAUAUUGUCAAACUGAGCUCGUAUGCCUGCAUUUUCACAUAACAACUAUCGUCUAGUGUUACGGCACGCGAACUAUCACCUCGAUUAUCCACAUUGAUUCCCCUGUUUUCAAAAACUGAACAUUUUUUUAUGCGUUAUGCAAUGCUUAUAGAAAAUAGAGGAGGUGCCUUAGGGAUGCCUCAAACUCGCACCCUUCAUGUAAAAACUAGGCGAGCUGGCCGCUAUAAAAGGCAAAAAGUUUGUUAUAUAUGGUGUUUAGCAUGUUAUAAAACUCACAUAUUUUCCUAAAAGAGUAUUAGUACCACCUGGUUAAAAUAAACUCCUAAAAUACAGAGGCAUAAAUUCCCCAUCUUCCUUCUUUUUCCAAGCGGCAAGCUGCAAUUUAAUUGCUGAAAUUAACUCGUAGAUUCCUCUUAUGUUCUCUCUUUGCAAUUUUGCAAAGCAUAGUUUUCAGCUGCUCCACCAUGCAAUUACACAUGUAUUCGUUUUAAUUGAUUAUCAUAAUAAACACAAAAUAAAUUUUAAAACUUUCUAAAUUUCAAUCACAACUUAAAAAAUAUGAGCGUAAAUUUUAAACUAAUCUUAAUCCAAAUUUUAUUCUAGAAAAACUAGCAAAUUCUGACAACUUUCAACUCUCUUCAUCCUUCAUUUGUGACUUUGAUUAUCUUCUAGUCCUCGUCGUUUUGCCAUCCUUUCAUGUUCAGUGGAGAUUCCACUAGGAGGACAGUGAGUUGUUUCCUGAACCCGGGGAUGUCGUCCUGCGUAAUAGGUUGACUUGGUCUCACAGUUGACAAUGUGAAUGGUGUGGUUAAAAUAAGUGUGGACAUCGUAAUGCUGUGUAGGCUCCAUCUAGGUUGUCACAUGUGAACUUUUCCAUGUUCUUUACCGAAAAAGCUCACAUGACAUAUUGCAAUCAUAUGGAUUCUUAUAAAUAUUUUUACUAAGAAUACUAAAUUUGUGGUUUUAAAUGUUGUGUACAGUACCUAUCUUUUUGUUGUGUUAUAUUUUGAUAACUUGAACUGUCCAAGUAUUGAUGCCGAAAUCCGGCCAAGUAUCGACUUUUCGGCAACCAUGCCGAUAUGCUACUUCCAUAUGGAGUUGCAUGAGCUGUAAUAAGUUAAGAAGUAUAAGACAUAUAAUAUGAAAAUUAACUCUCGGUAUGUAUGUACUAAGCAUUGAAAAAACUUAUCAUGUUUUCUAGUUCCGGGUGGGCUUUCUUAAACUGUUUUGUUGUUGAUGGCAUCAAAUAUACAACUUGCACUGCCCUUUUUUUGGCAUUGACAAUCGCCAUGUACCUAUGCAUUUCUUCAUAUUCAUAGGAAGAGAAACCUGCAUUUAAGACAUAAUUAGUUUUGUACCAUUUAGAAAUUGACUUAGACUAGUGUGACUUACCAUAUCAUGGGAAAGGUACUUUUCGCCAUGAAUACUACCAUAUGUUUUGUUCUGUAGAUCACGGGUACAAUUUGGAAAGCUUCCUUCUCUGACUAGCACACCACUAACUGAUGCUCUCUCUAGAUAGAUCAUCCCGUCGGCCCGACAUCUGGAUUGGGGCGCAUGUGACGUACCCAUGUUAUGGCCGCAUCCAAGAUUUGAAUCGCAAAGCAGUAAGGAAUCAAAAUAGAAAAUAACAAUUUGUUAAUUAUUUAAGAAGUUAGCACAUAUCUUGCAUUACAGUCAUCCGUUCGUACUACUUUUAAAGCGUGGAGCUGUCAAGCAUCUAAGAUCAGCGCGAUAGAGAUGAAUUUCAUCCAUUUCUACCAACACUUUUGAAGACGGGGAUGUAUUGACAUAGUCAAUGACCUCUUCAACUAUCUUCUCAUCUGGAGCAUCAUCCGUUCCCAUUCUGGGAGUACUCACGUCUUUUGGAGUUAUCUUGCCUCAUUUAGUUCUCUUGGUUCAUCAAAAUAAACAUAAUCCUUGUUAUCUGUAAAAGUGGAUUUCCUUUUUCUCUUCUUCUCUCCCGUCACCGUAGACCCUCCUGUUGCCUGCGUGUCCGAGGGAGGAGUUUUUUUAAUAGUGACUCACAUAAUUAAUGUACUUACUUGAGCACCCUGCAAGUCAUAGGGAGGAGCUUGUAAAAUGAGAAAAAUAAAUCACAUGAUUAACAUAGUUACUAAAUUACAUCAAAGUCUGAGGCCAGGUGACGCCCACGAAGGGGCGAGGUAACAAAUUUGUCGCUGUUGUUGUACUCAUAUUCUGGUCGGCUCCAAUAGUCCUGCAUAGGUGUCUGGUUGUUAUUACUUUAUAUAUAGGAAGGAAAGAGUGAUUAAGUGCGUGUUUGGAUGGUAGGGUACUUACAUUGGCGUUCAGGUUGGCGUAUAGCCAGUUUCGUCAUAUCUGCAUUUUCAUUCUCUAGGUACCUGAAUUUAUGCGCGCAACAUUUUCCUUCUCUAGGUGUACAGAUUCGCGUACAAAUGUUGCGCAAAUUCAGGCACCUAGAGAAGGAAAAUGCAAAUACGAGGAAACUGGCUAUACGCCAACCUGAACGCCAAUGUAAGUACCCUAUCAUCCAAACACGCACUUAAUCACUCUUUCCUUCCUAUGUAUAAAAUAAUGACAACCAGGCACCUACUAUUGGAGCUGACCAAAAUAUGAGCACAACAACACUGACAAAUUUGUUACCUCGCCACUUCAUGGGCGUGACUUGACCUCAUACGUUGAUCUAAUAUAGUAACUAUGUUAAUUACGUGAGUUAUUUUUCUCAUUUUACAAGCUCCUCUCUACGACUUGCAGGCUGCUCCGGAUGACACCACUAGUGAGCAAAAGGAGUUUGACAAAGACGAUGCCCGAAAAUUAGAUGUAACUAAGUACAUUAAUUAUGUGAGUCACUAGUUCAAAAACAACUCCUCCCUCGGACACGCAGACAACAUGAGGGUAUACAGCGGGACAGAAGAAGAGAAAAAGGAAAUCCACUUUUGCAAAGAAUAAGGAUUUUGUUUAUUUUGAUGAACCCAACAGAACUAAAUGAGGCAAGAUAACUCGAAAAGACGUGAGUACUCCCAGAACGGGAAUGAAUGAUGCUCCAGAUGAGAAGAUAAUUAAAGAGGUCAUUGACUAUGUCAAUACAUCCCUGUCAUCGAAAGUGUUGGUAGAAAUUGAUGAAAUUCAUCUCUAUCGCGCUGAUAUUUAGAUGCUUGACAGCUCCAAACUUUAAAAGUAGUACCGAAGGAUGGCUGCAAUGCAAGGUAUGUGCUAACUUCUUAAAUAAUUAAAACAAAUUAUUUUCUAUUUAGAUUCCUUACUGCUUUGCAAUUUUGAUCUUGGAUGCACCCAUAACAUGGGUAUGUCACAUGCGCCCCAAUCCAGAUGUACAGGCCAACGGGAAGAUCUACCUAGAGAGAGCAUCACUUAGUGGUGUGCUAGUCAAAGAAGGAAGCGUUCCAACUUGUACCCGUGAUCUACAGAACAAAAUAUAUGCUAGUAUUCAUGGCGAAAAGUAUCUUUCCCAAGAUAUGGUAAGUCACACUAGUCUAAGUCAAUUUCUAAAUGGUACAAAACUAAUUGUGUCUAAAAUGCAGGUUUCUCUUCCUGUGAAUAUGAAGAAUAUGCAUUGAUGCGUGGCGGUUGUCAAUGCCAAAAAAGGGCAGUGCAAGUUCUGGAUUCAAUGCCAUUAACAACAAUACAGUUUAAGAAAGCUCAUCCGGAACUAGAAAACAUGGUACCUUUUUAUGCUUAGUACAUACAUACAGAGAGUUAAUAUUCCGGAAAUUCGAUAUGGCUCAUAUGAAUGCGGCAAUAGAGGUCUGGUCCUGGACGGCAUAGGAAGCAUUUUCUCCACCACAAGAUGAUUAGCAGUUGGACGUCCAUCACUCAAUUAAUAGAUGAUGUAACAAGUCGUUUCUUACAAGCCAACGCUCUCAUUUGCACGUCAUCACUUGCUGCUUUGGACUGUGUAGUAAUGACCGAGGCCCUGAAUCGGAAAAUUAAUUACCAAAGAAAUUUGGAGGUCUGAACAGUAAACACAAACUGCCGUGGCUGGAAACCUAGACACUUGUUCUCAGUUAAAGGAAUUUUUUCCUUUGUCCUUUUCUGCUUAUGAAGAAAUGUAGCAGUUUUAGCAACUUUUAGCCUUUUGCAAAUGAACUUUCGAAGUACUAAAUAAUAAAUAGGUAAGCCCUUUGCAGUUUUCAGUGUUAUACAUUCAUGUUUUCUUUUACUAGGAAGUGAGGUUCUAUUGAUGCUGGUGUUCUUUGUUUUUUAAUUAUGUGGUUGAUGCACUGAUGUAAUCUGUCUGAAUUUUGAAAUUUGUUUAUUAUUAUUAUAAAAACUGUACUGCACGUCUGCCCCAGUGUAAGACUCAAUAAAACAAAUAAUGGAGGAUACAACUCCUCAACAUUAAACCAGGUUAGGACAUGAAACAUCAUCCCUGAUACUAACUCAAAUUGCACGCUGGAAGUACUGCACUGUACUAGCAUUCAUAGUUCAUGGUGUACAAUACAUUUAAUAAAUAAUUCGCUGCUUCUGUCGGAACGCCGUUUCCGGAAGGUGGGCCUGCCACGCCCUGCCGCGCGGCUGUACAUACGGCAUGCAUACAGUUGCCACCUGAUAUACGGCAAUUUCCGCCGGUCGCACAUUUUUCAUUCAAUGCGCUUCCCACCCAGCGGUCCAGAUAAUAAUACCAUAUGCAAGUAUGACCCAUAUCUUCGCCCUUAAUAUUCAAAUUAUAUGUCUUAUACUUCUUAAUUAUUAUAGCUCAAAGGCAUGCAACUCCAUAUGGAAGUAGCUAAUCGGCAUGGUUGCCGAAAAGUCGAUACUUGGCAGGAUUUUGACAUCAACACUUGGACAGUUCAAGUUAUCAAAAGUAUAUCACAACAAAAAGAUGGGUACUGUACUGUAUACAACAUUUAAAACCACACAUUCAGUAUUCGUAGUAAAAAUAUUUACAACAAUCCAUAUGAUUGCAGCAUGUCAUGUGGGCUUUUUUGGCUAAAGAACAAGGAAAAGUUUACAGUUUCCAAUCUAGAUGGAACCUACACAGGAGUAAAUAGCAAAAAACUACCACAUUACGGGCUACGGCUAAGAAAAACUACCACUUUUUUUAUUUUUUAAAAAUGCUAUCACUAUUUUGGUUGGCUGUUCUAAAAAACACUAGUGAUAUAUAGUUAGUAUUUAAUCAUGUUUAUGACAGCUGGCCCCACCUAUAAACAGUAACCACUAACACUGUGAGCGUUGACUGUUAGAUUGGACCAGAGGAGGCCCACCUGCCAGCAUAUUUAUAUGUAUCUAACUAAAAAAAUACCAGCUGCCCACCUCGCGCCAGGCCGGCGAGCUGGAGCUUCGCCGCACGCCCGCAGUGCCACACCCCCCAGCUCUCCCUUCCUUGGCACCCCGCUCACCUGAGCACACCUGUGACGUGCCUGCUGCAGCGGUCAUCUUCGUCGCGGAGCCGCACCUCUCCUCUGUCCCGCGCGCAUGGCGUUGGCGGCCAUGCUCGGCCCUGUCCCGCUCCUGGAACUCUUCGAUGCGUGUCUUGAAGGUUGCCGCCAAGGUUAAACGACGAGCCCCAUGGGAAGAGACGCGGCUGUGCAUCUCCAACGCCCUAGCCGUGGCCUCCGCCCUCUUGGCGGCCAUGCUCGGCCCUGCACCGCGGCCUCGGCCCUUUCUCUAUAUUUUUCUCCACCGAGGCCAAAACCUGUCCCGCUCCUGGAACUCUUCGAUGCGUCGUUGCUUCGGCGGAGCUUGUCUCUAUAUUUUUCUCCUCUGUCCCGCGCGCAUGGCCGUCGUUUGUCGUUGAUGUGGCUGGAGACAACCACGAGCUUCAGCAUCAUGUGCAUCCGCCUCGCCCUGUCUCCCUCUCACUCCUGCUCCAUUAACUGAACAAGGGACACGCCAUAGCCGUCGGCAGCGACCUUGUUCUCCAACCUCGGUCAUGGCGCACCACCAUCAAAUUAGCCACCGGCAGACUCCUUCGGUCCUCAUCCUAGACACCAUCUGGUCCGCAGCGUCAACGCCGACCUCCUGGACAUCCCAGCGUCAAGCUCCGCCUCCUCCUGCGCCCUCGCCGACAAGCUCCGAGCCCCGGUGGUCGUCGUUGUUUCUCAACUCGCCGUUCCAUGCUAACUCGCCUUGUCCGAGCACGCGCACCGGCUUGUGGUGUGUCUUCUCUGGUCCGCUCGCAACCCGUAGCGCUGCAGCCUUCAAGCACAUCACGGCGUCUGCAGCAGGAGGCCGACGCCGAGCCCCUCAAGGUGCCAGCACGCACGGGCACCGGAAGCCCGGGUCCGAGCUCGCGGGCACGCUGCCCGCCGCCGCCCUUGCCCCAGUUGGCCGUUGCCGAGAGGAAGCCGUCAGCCUUCCAUGGAUCACGAUUCAUGAGAGCCGCCGGGGAGGAGACGGGCGCCGCGACCCAGAUCCCGUGUCGUGCUGACUUAACGGCUUGACUAGUGGAGAUGACUUUUUUUUUGCCACGUGGCACUGAUGUGUGGGACCUCCCUGUCAUAAUUAUGAUUAAAUUUUAACUAUACAGUCACUAGUGUGUUUUGGAACAGCCAACCAAAAUAGUGGUAGCAUUUUGAAAAAUUAAAAAAAAUGGUAGUUUUUCGUAACCAUAGCCCGUAAUGUGGUAGUUUUUUGCUAUUUACUCCCUACACAGCAGUACAAUGUCCACACUUAUUUUAACCACACCAUUCUCAUUGUUACAGUUGUGAGACUAAAUCAACCUAUUAUGCAGGACAACAUCCCUGGGUUCAGGAAACAACUCACUGCCCUCCUAGUGGAGUCUCCACUGAACAUGAAAAGGACGGCGAAACGAUGAGGACUAGAAGAGAGUCAAAGUCAUGAAUGAAGGAUGAAGAGAGUUGAAAGUUGUCAGAAUUUGCUAGUUUUUCUAGAAUAAAACUUGGAUUAAGAUUCGUUCAAACUUUACGCUCAUACUUUUUAAGUUGUGAUUGAACUUUAGAAAGUUUUACAAUUUAUUUUGUGUUUCUUAUGAGAAUCAAUUGAAAUAAAUACGUGCUUAAUUGCAUGGUGGAGCAGCUAAAAACUAUGCUUUGCAAAAUUGCAAAGAGAGAAGAUAAGAGGAAUCUACGAGUUAAUUUCAGCAAUUAAAUUGCAAGUUGCCCCUUGGAAAAAACAAGGAACAUGGGGAAUUUAUGCCUCUGUUUUUUAGGAGUUUAUUCUAACCAGGUGGUACUAAUACUAUUUAAGGAAGAUAUGUGAGUAUUAUAACAUACUAAACAUCAUAUAUAACAAACUUUGUGCCUUGUUAUAGCGGCCAGCUCGCCUACUUUUUAUAAGCAUCCCUAAUGCACCUCCUUUAUUUUUUUAUAAGCAUUGCAUAACACGUAAAAAAAAAGUGCAGUCUCUGAAAACAGGGGACUCGAUGUGGAUCAUCGAGGUGAUAGUUCGCGCGCCGUAGCACUAGACGAUAAUUGUUAUGUGAAAAUGCAGGCAUACAAGCUUAGCUUGACAAUAUAUGACCUUCUAAAUUCUUAACAAAUAUUUUUUUAACGAUACAAAAACAUUUGGGGCUCACCGAAACUUCCGGUAAAUCGGGAAAAAAUAAACAUCGUGCAAAGCAUUCAAAUCAAUUUUCCUAACGAAAUAUAUAAAUUAUAGAAUAUGUUUUAUCCGUACUAUUAACAGAAACCUUGUGUCAAUGCAGUUGCAUGCGCCUGGACGGCUUCAGUUCUGUUUCGUCUAAGUGCACAGUUUUUAUUUGUUUGUAUUUUCUUCCUUUGGCACAGACAGGUGAGACCCAUAUGCAGGCAUGGAGUGUGGACCAGCCGGCGUGCAAAGUUUAACGAAGAGUUAACGGCAGAUGACGGAAAUGUGCUCAAAUUUACCUGAAUCACAAGUUGUAGGGCUGCUUUGUGUCAGUUUUCAAGUUUAUGUAUGAAUUUGCAGUCGAGUGAAAGUUUAUGUAUCAAAUGUGUAAUUAACUCCUAGUAUAAAUCUAUCAGGGUCCUCUGCAUCCUGCUAUAAUACAAUAGUUUAGAGACAAAUUUAGACAAUCUCCAAUAAUAAGCUACAAUCCUACAAGUUGAUGGUUCACAGUGGCAACUGACAAUUUCCCCUCCAAGCAGAGAUUUUCAUCAUAUAACGUUAACCCGAAGAAACACAAGAUAGCCAAAAAAAACAUUUACCUACACAUCCUGUAGCAGAAGUGUGCCAUGAAAUCUUGAAUUUCGUAGGCAAAUGGAACAUUACAGUGAAUACAUAUCUAUAUGGGUACUUCCUUCUUAGAUAUUGUAACUCAAACAAAAGCACAAACACUUAAUCGCAAUGUACUCGCUGUAUCAAACUUUCCAUUUACCUAAUUUUACAUCUACCAAAUUGGCUCAAGUAUAUAAGAAGCAUGAAAUUCUCACAUAGAACACAAUCAGAGAGAGUAAAUUUCUAUUUCAACAAUGCUCUGCUAGUUCUCAAAAUUGUACUCCCUCCGUUCCAAAUAUUUGUCUUUCUAGAGAUUUUAACAAGUGACUACGUACGAAGCAAAAUAAGUAAAUCUACACUCUAAAAUAUGUCUACAUACAUCCGUAUGUUGUAGUCCAUUUGAAAUGUCUAGAAAGACAAAUAUUUGGAAACGGAGGGAGUAGUCAUUUAACUCCGGGCCAAUACGAUCACCGAAUAAAAAUUGCUAAAUACUGCAACUAAAUUUUACACAAGUCACAAACAUACUUACAUGGAAAUCAAAGACGCCGCGCAUGCCGGCAGCGGCUGGAAUCCUAGAGAGUGGGCAGGGCGGCCAGCCGCCAUGGUCUCGUCUGCCUAGCACGAUCAACCUCCGUAGCGGACGAGCAGUAGACAUCGGUUUUGAGGCCCUGCACCUAGCAGCCCAGCCCUCCUCACUGGGGGUGGCGGUGACGGUCCAGUCCCCGGUGAGCGAGAUGCGCUGCUUAAAUUGGCGACGCGGCCAAGCAGGGUUCAGGUGGCGUGCGCUGCCGGAGUGGAGGUCGGCGCACAGCUCUGGGCUAGGGUGCAGGCAGGGACCUCUGUGGAGAUGGAGACAAGGCGAGGGCACUGGAAUGUUUAUUAUUGUUUUCAGUCAUUUGAACUGCAGUUCAAUUCUUGGUUUUCCGUUUGUGCUCUUACUUUCCCCGAACAACAUGUACCAGCAUAAAUUUGAGACGUCACCCUUAUUUCUGUCCAAAAUUUAGCUUCAUUCGAGAAGGCUCCACCUCUACUACCUCUAUGUGACGAGAAGGAUGAGCACGAUGAUGAUGAGGAGGAGGACGGCAACGAUGAGGAGGAGGUAAUAAUUUUAGUUCAAUCUUCUAAUGCUAGAAUACUAUGUUUUUACUCUGUUUUUUUCCUGGCUGAAUUCACCAGAUUUUAUUUUACUUUUGUCUGCGGUUUAAUCACUUUAUCAGUUGUUUUAGGGUGAUUGGCGAGUUACAACUCGUAAUUUCGUGUAACUCCACCUUCAAUUUUUCCUGACCGUCAGAUUUGAGAAAUCAGUAAAAUAAUUAUUUUUUGGUCAAAAGGGUAGAAUAGGAAAGUUCCUCCAAUCCGUUCCGCGGGAGAAUUAGCUCACCCGUGCCCGUCCCCCACGCAGAUCGUUCUGUUUCUGGUCGCAUAGCCGCCGCCGCCGCCCUUUCCGCCGUUCCGAUCGAGCGAUCCCGCCGCGGCACCGCUCCAGGCAAGCACCAGCAGUCGCCUACCUGGUGUCGCUCCUGCCACGAGGGUUCCGGCUCAACGCUAGGAACUGCUAACCGUCCGCUGCGGCGCGCCGAGCCCACCGAAGUCUUCCCUGCCCCGCCGCCCACUNNNNNNNNNNNNNNNNNNNNNNNNNNNNNNNNNNNNNNNNNNNNNNNNNNNNNNNNNNNNNNNNNNNNNNNNNNNNNNNNNNNNNNNNNNNNNNNNNNNNNNNNNNNNNNNNNNNNNNNNNNNNNNNNNNNNNNNNNNNNNNNNNNNNNNNNNNNNNNNNNNNNNNNNNNNNNNNNNNNNNNNNNNNNNNNNNNNNNNNNNNNNNNNNNNNNNNNNNNNNNNNNNNNNNNNNNNNNNNNNNNNNNNNNNNNNNNNNNNNNNNNNNNNNNNNNNNNNNNNNNNNNNNNNNNNNNNNNNNNNNNNNNNNNNNNNNNNNNNNNNNNNNNNNNNNNNNNNNNNNNNNNNNNNNNNNNNNNNNNNNNNNNNNNNNNNNNNNNNNNNNNNNNNNNNNNNNNNNNNNNNNNNNNNNNNNNNNNNNNNNNNNNNNNNNNNNNNNNNNNNNNNNNNNNNNNNNNNNNNNNGUCGCCGGCUGUCAGAGGAAAUUUGGGUGCUCCUGCAGUGUCAAUUCAGCCUAGACUCUUUGCACAAUUAGAGAUCAGAUAACGGUCAGUUAUCGUCCUUCUUGGAUGAUUUCUUUCUCUUCUUCCCGGUGCAAGGCUCUUUUCCUUUCAGGUUUUGAGAAAAUGUUUGCAGCUGGCCCAUAAGAUGCUCAUUUCUAUGCGCUGGGAUUGCAAUGCAAUGGUCAGUGGGAGGGGGAAAAAUACAUUAAGAGAACCAUGAAGAGAGUAUCAACAACAUUUUUGUCUAUAGCUUAUCAACUAUGUAUUCAACAUUUGGAAAAUUACGAGUACACAAGUAUCUCAAACAACCUUGUGUAGAAAACAACAAUUCCAGGAAGCCAAUAUUCUUUACUUCUCUUUCAGGCAUUUGUAAAGAUAUUGUUUGCUCAAAUACCUGUGAGGAUAACAUCGUCCAUCCUAAUGGAUUUACGACUAGCAUGUUGUGCAUAGAACUCAACAUCCUUAGCCAGUUGCUGUGCACAUUGCGAAGAAUAUGUUAAUUACACUACCCAUAGAGUUUCCAAAUAUGCAAAUCUAACAAGAUUCAGAACCAUUCUUAUUCUGCUGAGGGCAAAUAAGCAGUUCAGUACAGAUAGUACAGCAGAACGCUAUAGUUUCAGAGAUGUUGCUCUGAAAAUACACGUCCUUAUGUUCUGAUACAUCUCCUUUACUGUCGCCGUGCAACCAGUGGUUCCCACAACAUCCCCAUCCCGAGCUGGAAAUGUGGUCAGCUAUUGCUUUCUAGCUGAUACAGUGUGCCACUUAAAAGGAUGAGAUUCUUGAGUUUGUGGACGGGUUUGGGUGAUCUUCAGUGCAACUUGAUGUCUUAUUUCUCACGUGUAUUCUACAACCCACCAAGGUCCGGGAGUCACGUUGGCUAAACAUUACCUAAAUGCAUUAAAUAGUGCUUUGCUUUAUUCAAGAGCACAUUCCCAAUUGAACUAAAUAUCUUGAAUUGUGUUAGAGGAGCAUGCAAAUCAGAUAUAAGGAUAGUAUCUAUAGCAGAGAUUGUUUGUUAGAGUUUGGUGUAUUCUCAUCAUGAAUAUUUUGUCUAUGCAGAGCUUGUUGUAAGAGAAAAAACCAUCAGUAUCAGCAUGAAAUUCGAGAUACACAACUCCUAGUAUGGCGGCAUCCACAUCGCUCCCACGAUUACUGCUUUUGAAGUUUGUGUAUGAUAUAAAAAUUAAUGGAUGUGCUAUGAUCUUGUGCAGAAGAGUCAGAUCAGUCAUAAUGUGGCCAAGUUCAAAUUUGUUUCCCUAAACCUACUUCUGUGUUGGGCCAUGCAAUUGCCAAUAUAUAAGAUGCAGGUCUGAACACUUGUACUGCUCAUAUCCUGGUCAACAGUUAUGAUGUUGAGUUAUGGUCAUUCUUUUUGGCACGCGAACAUGACAGAGAGGACUAAAAUAGGGGACAUACUUCUUCUGUUCCAUAUUUGUCGACAAUGAUUAUGGCUGAGGCAUGAUAAUGCACAUGUAGCAAUGCGUGCAAAGCGGGCAAGAAAUUCAUAUGAAGUAGGCAUUCUUCCAAAUUGAGCCAAUUCUGGUUUUCGAAGAUAUACUUUACAUAACUACUGUCCAUUUUCUACAGUGCCAUACAUUGCCUAAAUAUUCAGAACUAUGUUUGAGGCGUGGGUCAUGUAUGUCUUGAGCUCCCGAUUCACCUUCUCCUCGUCCCACAUGAACCCCUGGAUGUUCUGCACCCACUCGAAGCAGCUCACCAUCACUCCGCCGGAGUUGGCCAUGAUGUCCGGUAGGAUCAGCACGCCCUUCUUUGCUAGAAUCUGCACCACGAACAUGAACAUUUCUCUGCUGUCAGUCAAUGUGUGAAUGUGUCAACAAAUGCAGCUUAGUUUUGUGGAAAAAUGUUGGUGUUCUUGCCUCGUCGACCUCGGUGUCUGUUGGGUGGUUAACAGCCUCGAUGAUGUACUUUGCUUUGAUGGCAUCAGCAUUGUCCCUAGUAGAAGAAGAAAAUCAAACGGACUUUUUAUUAACAAAAAUGUAUUCAGAUACACAAAAAAUAACAGCCAGGAGGAUACUUUAACUGAGCUUCUGAGCAGUAAUCUGAUAAAGAUUGGAUGAAGUGAGAUGGGACGAGGAAAUAGAAGAUUACUUGUUUAUGACUCCUCCCAGAGCUGCCGGGAUGAGCACGUCACACUCUUCCGUGAGCAGCGAGGUCGGGUCGACGGCGUCGCCUCCGUCAAAGCCCUUGAUCCCGCGGUUCUCUGCCGAGUGCUUCUUCAGCUUGGCUAUGUCAAUGCCAUUGGAGUUCUUGACAGCCCCUGUGACAUCUCUGAUGGAGACCACCUUGCCACCAGCUUUAGUGAUCAAUUGGGCAGCCCAAGAGCCAAUAUUGCCAAAUACCUGAAAAAGGCAAGAAGAUAAUAAUUGCUCAUCUGUGCAAAUGUAGAUGAAGAAACAUAGUUUUGGCCUUGCUCCACAAUGUAUGGCGCCAUUGUACACAACGAUUAUUACUAGCAUUGUGUAGGCAUGCUUGUAUAUAUUUGGCAGAAUAUAUUACUUGUGGGUGCUCAUUGUGUGCUCCUUUCCCCUUUAAUUUCAGCGCGUGAGGUGGGAGAUUAGAAAGAUACUGACAUAUCAAGCACAGAACUUUGCAAUUGCCACUGAUGGUGUCUCCAUUGUAAGCCUAAGCUUUGACAAGAUGCUUGUCUCUAAAUUAUAAAUGGGAAACAUCUUAGCUUUGCGUGAAAAUUAAAGAGAUUGGCAAAAAUUUCUCUGGCAUUUUAAAUGCGCAAAAGACCAAAGAAAAAGCAAAUAAUCUUAGUGAGUUCAGAUAAAACAGAGAAUUACCUUAAGAAGAGUUCAAUUGCGAUAUCGUGAUAUUACACUAAAAUUAAAAGCUGGAUGGUCAGUCUAGUGGCAGAACAACAGCCAUCUUUUGGCAAAUAAAACAUCUGCUUACAAAUUUUAAGUUUUCGGAAGCAGCCAUGGAUUUCACCUGGAAAAGAACAUCGAAGAGAAAAAACAACGUCCUACAACUGCUCCAUCAGACACGAAUAGGCAGAAUAAAGGGAUAUGUUGUAUGUUCUUCCCUACGGCUAAAUAAUUGCUGAAAAUUGUCACUUUCCUAAACCAGAAGGGUUGCAGUAGCAAAUUUCUACUUAGUAGUGAGCAAGUGUAGAUGAUUUUGGUCCUUCUGUCUUCUAUCAAUCCUUAUCCAAGAUGGCAAAUUAUGGCACAAACGAUGUAUAACUUAUUAAUAUGAUUCCUGCGCUUUGUACGUGACGAACAAUAACACUGCAAAUAUCAUUCUACAAGAAAUUCGAUUCCUCUCCAGGGUAACUGCAUAGCUCCCCAUGUGCAUCAAUCGACAAAGCACAAAUCUAUCACGUAUCUACGCCGCUAGGCCAUCGCACAUCCAACCACUUCCUCGCUUGGAACCACCGAAUUGAACUGCCCAAUCAAAUCAAUACAUGUCGGGAUCAACAUAGGGGAUGAAGGGGGCGGGAGGGGGGAGCAAGAGACCGUACGUACCAUGUCGGGCAGGAUGACAUGCAGUCCGGCGGGGCCGUUGUCAACCUGGGCGAUCUCGACCAGCAGCGGCGACUGCAGUGUUGGUAAGGUCGACGACUAGAUGCAGGAGUUGGGGACGACCUCCUCCGGGCACGGCUGCUCCCCCUCCUUGGCGGCAUGGGCGGACAAGACCUCUUCUGGGUGAGGCCGACGUCAGCGACGGGAGUCCGGUGACGCCGCUGAAGAUGCCGCCGCCACGACCACCCGCCUCCUCCGCUGAAGAUGCCGCCGCCGCUGCUGAACAUGGACGCCGAUCUNNNNNNNNNNNNNNNNNNNNNNNNNNNNNNNNNNNNNNNNNNNNNNNNNNNNNNNNNNNNNNNNNNNNNNNNNNNNNNNNNNNNNNNNNNNNNNNNNNNNNNNNNNNNNNNNNNNNNNNNNNNNNNNNNNNNNNNNNNNNNNNNNNNNNNNNNNNNNNNNNNNNNNNNNNNNNNNNNNNNNNNNNNNNNNNNNNNNNNNNNNNNNNNNNNNNNNNNNNNNNNNNNNNNNNNNNNNNNNNNNNNNNNNNNNNNNNNNNNNNNNNNNNNNNNNNNNNNAGAGGGGAUCGACAGAAGAAGCGUGCGUGGCUAGGUUUCUUUUCCUUUUCUCCCAGCGCGAUCUACCCUUUUGGAAAAUGAUUAGCCCCACCAUAAUCUUGUAACGGUCCCAUAGUUAUUUGUGAUUUCAUGUAAUUUUACUCUCGUAACUCCUCGUAACUCCUAUUUCUCCACCGUUUGAUCGUAGUGAAUGGACGGCCCCUAAAUUCGCCACUGUAACAGUUGUAUUUAUAUAUACCACUAAUCAGUGGAUGAGUGAUGAAAAGAAAUCUGGUAAUGGUGUGGAACUGCAAGCCCAGGAUGAGGACGGCCUUGAGAUGAUAACACUCUUUAUUUCAAUCUAGAUGCUACAAUACCAGAAUUUUUUGCCGACUGAAUUCACUACAUUGAUUUUAUUUUUGUAUGCUUUUAAUCAAAUUUCCCAACUAAUUAGCGUACCUCUAAUCAGUUGAUGGGCGAUGAAAAGAGAUCUGCUAGUGAUGCUGAACUGCAUGUCCCUAGUUAAGGUGAACAAGAAUGCAAGAAGGCUAAGAUUAUCAGUAAGCUUUGAGUGCGAGGGAGAUGAAAUUGAGGCUGGACAACCAAAGAACUCUCUUUAGUCGAUGAUGAUAUUUGUCUAGAGAUCCGAAAUCUCCACACCGCCCUCUCUCUUCGGCCCCUGGAAGCCCGCGAUAUGGAUGCUCGCCGGCCCGCGGGGACCCCCUUGCCCGCGACGGCUAUGCCGUCAUUUGCGCCGGCGUCGACCGCUCCGGCCCCAUCCCUCACCGCCCCUGCUCUGGCGGCCGCGCUCGCCGCGGCCUUCCUCGCCGGCCGCAAGGCCAGCCCGGCCGUACGAGGACGUCUCGUCUCCUGCAAGCUCCGCUCCACGACUACGGCGCCGGCCAGCCAAUCUUCGCCAACCGCCGCCCCCGGCCACCUUGCCGGCGCCUCCUCCGGCCGUCUGCCAGUGCCCUCCGGCCUCCUAGGCUCGCCGGCGUCGUCGCCUCGAUCCACGGCUCCCACGUCAAGCACCCAUCUGCCCCGGUCAAAUCUGGAACGGGGACAUGUGCCUCCGCCGCCAGUGCCACGUCUACGCCCUGCGGUCCCUGUAACCCCUCUGGAGAUGUCGGCUGCGCUGCCUUGCCAUAAUGGCGGCCACAUCCGCCCGCCUGCUGAGCCGAUGAGCCCCUGCUGCCUCACCUCUGCUGUGAAUGCCGGCCAGCUCAACACCUGUGGGCGCGAGGCGGAGGCGACCGGAGGCUGGCAGCUCGUCAAAUCGCACCGCGGCCCGCGCCACCCAGAUUUGGCCGCCCAAGCAUUCAAGCCCUCCUCGAUCCCGAGUUGGCUUAAAGGCCGUUGUUGUCGCUGCCUGGCCCCUGAUCACCGCGCCUUCGUCUGCCGCGACCCCGUUCGGUGCGCGCAUUGCUUGGAAAACGGCCACCGGGCUCGCGGCUGCUGCAACAAGUGGAGGCCUCUUAGCUCCCUCGCAAGCCCCGUCGUACCGCCGCCGCUUCCUCACCCUCGACUUGCUGUUGCGACGGUCCAAGAUCCCGCUCCUCGGUUCGGUUCAGGCAGGGGCUGGCCUCUUCCCCAACUUGGCCAGCCACAGCUAUUAGACUCUGCUGGCAUCGGUUCGAUGCCACGACCUGAUGACUUUGUAGUCGUCCCGGCCACAACGGAGAGGCAGGCCGAGUCGGCGUCGAUCAUUGUGGGGCAGACUGAGCUCCUCCGCGCUGAGCUUCGUGAUUGCAUUGUGCGUGUUGGAAUGUUUUGGCAAGCGUAGAGGCCGCUCUCGCCAAACUCCAAGUUGUGCCCGUUGUGACCCCGCUACCCGAGAUCCAGGUUGAUUCUGUCGAUGGGGAGGCAGGAAUGUAUGGAGAUCUCUCCCCUCGUGCUACAUCAUGCACGUCGUCACUGCCUAUCAUGCCGAUUGCUUCUGAGGGUGAAGCUGUUGUCGAGGUUGUGGCUCCGGUGCUGCAGAUUAUGCCUAGGUUGCAGAAGCUCUGUGAGGAGCCCACUUCGCCUAUUUCGAUGGUGCUACCUAAGGAGUCAGGGUCGCUUGGAGGGGCCUUGGCGAUGCCAACUGUGACCUCACCGCAGUCGUUGGAGCCCAGUCAGCCUCUCGCCUUUGUGGACCGUGAAGGUUUGGAUGCUGUUGUUGCUCUCUCACCUGUGGCUAUUGGGCAGGCGACACCUAAUGUGGUCGGUACUUUGGCACCUAAUUCUGUGGCGCUGAAGCCCGUCUUUGACCAUGAAGCUAUGUGGGCACGUAUUGACGAGGUGGUCUUCAAGAAAAAGCUUUGUGGCUUGCUCGCCUCUUUGGAGGUAGCUAGCCCUGGGUCUGGCAAGGCGAUUGCUUGUCUCCUAGCGGAGGAGGCUUCUACAGGCAAAAUCAGGAAGGUGAAGAAGGUUCUUAGGAGCAUAGGCAAGAAGAGUGGCGCCCUUGGUAAGGCGUCUGCGGUUGCCUAAUGGAUGAUACACAGUCUCUUCGACCAUCAUCUCCAACUGGCUCGUCUUUGUGGAUUUGGUGGUAUGUGUUGUCUUCAACCUUGGUUUCGUUGGGGGUUUCUUUGCGACAUAGAAGUGUGAGGGAUUGUGGUUGUUGCGACUUAUGUGUGUUUAUCGGGUUGAUUGUGGGGUCAUGGAGUUUCUCCCUUAGCGAGUAGUUCGCAUGUGGUCUAUAUGUAUCGGUUUUCGCCCAGUUUUCCGUUGUUAAUUAACUGGGCAAUUUUCUUCUUCUUAAUUAAUCGAUGAGACAAAUCUUUUGCAUCCGUUUUGAAAAAAAAUGAUAUUUGUCUAAUCACAUGCAUGCUCGUUAUUGCGGCACAAUUAACUCUUGGAUCUGAUUAUGUAUUUCAAAAUGUGUUAUUUAUACUUGGAUUCAAAUAGUAAAAAUUUAAUAAAUUUACCGCCUAAUUGAUUCUUAGAUCGUUCAGCAAGACAAAUUAGUAUCAUUGCAUUGUUUUAUUUGAUGUUAGCGGCGUGGCCAUGAAUCCAUGAUUAUAUAGCUAUAAACAUUACAGGGAAAAUGAAUUUUAGUCCAUAAAAUUGGAGUCAUGUUCCAAACAAUUGAAACACUGCCAGGUUAUUACCAUACUGGAUACAUGUUAUUACCUGAUGCUUGUUUUUUUUUUCUAAUUACUAGCGAAACAGGUGCUGCCAAAUGUAUGAAGUUGGAUUGUAUAAGCGCUUUGUUAUACUUGUUGCGUUUUCCAUGUUCCAUGUUGUAGCACUUGGAGAUGAAACAUGUAGAUCAUAUUCUGCUUUAUUUUGUCAGGUCCUGAUUACUUAACUUGGGCUUGAACACUUGGGAGUUAGCUGGCUUGCUUUUCGAUAUCUACAACCCACUGUGAUGACAUUUCUAGAGAAAGAUAGAGUAACUAAUAAAAUAUCUUUGUUACUUAGGUCAUUUAGUUGAAUGGAUUUAUUUGAACUUUCAUUUAUCAAAAUUUUCAAUGCCGCAAACCAUCUCCCAGCUAGGACGUAACAGAAUGGAUGCUUUUGUACAUUGAACAUACUGACACGACUGUGAACUUGUUGAGAGUUUAACAAAGUAAGUGGCGAAGUCAUGUUCUGAAUUACAAAAUUUGGAAUAUAUGCUUAAAUAAGUCCUUUUUCUUUUUAAAUAUGUACAAAAUACACAUUAUAUCAUUAAAAGUCUGCACAACUCCUUACCCUUAGAUCUCUGCACACUAUUUGUAUCGGGUGCCUUUAUUUUGUUUCCACAAUUUUACUUAAGUGUCCAUGCUUUGUCCAUGGCCACUCGAAGUUUUCCAAUACACAUAUUGCAUGUAUGCUUUUCAACUUUCUUGAUUAAACCGAGUCGUCAAACUGAUUCUUACGAUGUUGUUUGGUUGUUCUGGCAGUAUCUGGUGACACGAGAAGUUAGAAGAGGCAACUAAACUGUUGGUUGUGUCCAUGGCUGCAGUAUUGGGUCUUGUAAUAUUCAAAACAGCAGCUAUCGUAGGCCUUGUGUUAUGUGCAACUUUUAUGAUUGUGUCCUAAAAACAUGCCUCUGUUUCUCAUUUGAGUAAAAUGGAUACCAUCAUCUAUUUUAGUUAUACCAAAAGAAAAAUAAGCAUGUCUCUGUUUCUCAUUUGAGUAAAAUGGAUACGUCAUCUUGGACGGGUGUCAUGCAUUUCAUGUCUAUAUACGAAAAUUUGGGUAUUGAGCUCAAACAUUCACAUGGACCCCAAGGCUCUGGUUUCUGCUGAAUUUACCUUGAUGUACUCUUCCACAAAACAUACCGGUUCGUUCUCUCGUAAAAUAGAACGACAGGAGGCGAGAAACGCGGCGGAGGAGCUGAGAUCCACGCAACCAACCGAGGUAGACACGACCACCGAUGGCCACGUCUAGGACCUCUACCCCAUUCACUCCAUUGCUCGAGCCAUGUUCCCUCUGCCACGCCGCCCUGCACCACAUCAAGCAUGGCAGUCAUCGGUGCCCUCUACCGCGCCGCCUUGCACCGUCUCAAGCGCAGCAGUCAUCGGUGCCCUAUGCUGUGGGCCCGUUUGUUGGGAAUCUUAGCAUAAUUUAAAAUUUUCCUACGCUCACCAAGAUGCAUCUAUGGAGUCUACUAGCAACGAGGGGAAAGGAGUGCAUCUACAUACCCUUGUAGAUCGCGAGCGGAAGCGUUCCAAUGAACGUGGAUGACGGAGUCGUACUCGCCGUGAUCCAAAUCACCGAUGACCGAGUGCCGAACGGACGGCACCUCCGCGUUCAACACACGUACGGUGCAGCGACGUCUCCUCCUUCUUGAUCCAGCAAGGGGGAAGGAGAGGUUGAUGGAGAUCCAACAGCACAACGGCGUGGUGGUGGAUGUAGCGGGUCUCCGGCAGGGUUUCGCCAAGCUUCUGCGAGAGAGAGAGAGAGAGAGAGAGAGAGAGAGAGAGAGAGAGAGAGAGCUGUUGCAGGGGAGGAGGGAGGCGCCCAAGGCUGUUCAUUGCUGCCCUCCCUCCCCCCACUAUUUAUAGGACCCCUGGGGGGCGCCAGCCCUUGGGAGAUCAGAUCUCCAAGGGGGGCGGCGGCCAAGUGGGGGGGAAGGGGUGCCUUGCCCCCCAAGGCAAGGGGGAAGCUCCCCCCCCAGGGUUCCCAACCCUAGGCGCAUGGGGGAGGCCCAAGGGGGGCGCCCCAGCCCACUAAGGGCUGGUUCCCUUCCACUUUCAGCCCACGGGGCCCUCCGGGGUAGGUGGCCCCACCCGGUGGACCCCCGGGACCCUUCCGGUGGUCCCGGUACAAUACCGGUAACCCCCGAAACUUUCCCGGUGGCCGAAACUUGACUUCCUAUAUAUAAUUCUUCACCUCCGGACCAUUCCGGAACCUCUCGUGACGUCCGGGAUCUCAUCCGGGACUCCAAACAACUUUCGGGUUUCCGCAUACAUAUAUCUCUACAACCCUAGCGUCACCGGACCUUAAGUGUGUAGACCCUACGGGUUCGGGAGACAUGCAGACAUGACCGAGACGCCUCUCCGGUCAAUAACCAACAGCGGGAUCUGGAUACCCAUGUUGGCUCCCACAUGUUCCACGAUGAUCUCAUCGGAUGAACCACGGUGUCGAGGAUUCAAUCAAUCCGUAUGCAAUUCCCUUUGUCAAACGGUAUGUUACUUGCCCGAGAUUCGAUCGUCGGCAUCCCAAUACCUUGUUCAAUCUCGUUACCGGCAAGUCUCUUUACUCGUACCGCAAUGCAUGAUCCCGUGACUAACGCCUUAGUCACAUUGAGCUCAUUAUGAUGAUGCAUUACCGAGUGGGCCCAGAGAUACCUCUCCGUCACACGGAGUGACAAAUCCCAGUCUCGAUCCGUGCCAACCCAACAGACACUUUCGGAGAUACUCGUAGUGCACCUUUAUAGUCACCCAGUUACGUUGUGACGUUUGGCACACCCAAAGCACUCCUACGGUAUCCGGGAGUUGCACGAUCUCAUGGUCUAAGGAAAAGAUACUUGACAUUGGAAAAGCUCUAGCAAACGAAACUACACGAUCUUUUAUGCUAUGCUUAGGAUUGGGUCUUGUCCAUCACAUCAUUCUCCUAAUGAUGUGAUCCCGUUAUCAAUGACAUCCAAUGUCCAUAGUCAGGAAACCAUGACUAUCUGUUGAUCAACGAGCUAGUCAACUAGAGGCUUACUAGGGACAGGUUGUGGUCUAUGUAUUCACACAUGUAUUACGAUUUCCGGACAAUACAAUUAUAGCAUGAAUAAUAGACAAUUACCAUGAACAAAGAAAUAUAAUAAUAACCAUUUAUUAUUGCCUCUAGGGCAUAUUUCCAACACCGUCCCCUCCUCCCGACCUCUCCAUCUCAUCCGGAGAGGUAGCCCUCCCCUAGCCUUUUUGAUCUAUUUCUUUCCCCCGCUUCUCAAACCGGUGAGGUAACCAUCCCCUAUCUUCCGUGACACGUCAAUCACUAGACUUCGACGCGUUGACCGCUGAAUCCAGGAGGUUAGCGACGGGGACAAGUGAUGCUGUCCCGGCUAAAGGGCCUCUUACCACGUCGACUCCCGGCUCGGUGGGACAGCCUGACGACCCUUUCCGGUUCCAUCCUGGGCCAGUUUGUAGCCCAUGACAAUUACAAGGAAGAUUCAAAGGACCUGGCGUAUACUCCAAGAUGCUCGAUCCAUGGAGGACUAUGCCUCCCCAUACGUAGACGACUAGGAUCUUGUACCCUAGGGGCCCCCAGGUACCUAUAUAAACCAAGGGGCCUGGCUCGUAGAUAUAAGUUACAAGUUAGAUCAUACAAUCUUAUGGUAGCUUACCUGUACUCUAUACACACUCCAACGCAGUAAAACACAAGCAAGAUGUAUAGUAUUAUCUCUUCGGAGAGCAUGAACCUGGGUAAACCCUGUGUCUUUGUUACCAUGCCGAUCUUAGGACCCCGUGCCUCGAGAUCUGCCGAAUUCAGCUUUGUUAGUGGUGGCCCAUGCAUGUCGUGUAGGGUGAUUGUCAUGGAUGGAUAAACGCUUAGAUUGGCGCCAGUGCAAUCUUUGUGCCGGGCCAGAUGCUUCUCUUCAGCGGCGUAACCCUCGUCGCCAACUCGUCUGGCCUUCUAGGUCAGGUCGAUUACUUCGCUCCAGGUUGGACUGUCGGGUUCGAUAACAUGGAGUACACUGUGGAUUUCCACAAGGAGUUGAUCUUCUCUGGUUUGGUUCCACACCAGAUCGAGGAACAGCCCGAGCCUCUCUCUUCGGACCCGAUUUCGGAUUAGGUCCAGGACAAGCGUGAGAAAACCUUACCGGGUUCGGUUUCUGAUCGGAUCCUGAAGCCACUCUCCCCAAGUAAGAUUUCAGAUGAAGUUUUGGAGGAGAGCGUGAACCCUCUUCCCGGAUAGAUGUCAGGUCGGAUCCCAGAGCCGCUCCCCUCGGUCCCUGUUUUGGCCCUGGUUAAGGAGGAGCAUGAGAAACUCCUAUUGGGUGUGAUGUUAGAUCAUAUUCAGGAGAUUGUGAAAUCAGAUUUCCUGAUUUGGACGUCAGAUCGGAUCGUGAAACUCCCUAGGGAAGCCAAUUUUUUCGACCCACCCACCACCCAUCUUAUCGCUAACGUCGAAGUUCUUACCGAAGUCCUCGAAGGCACAAUCAACGAGGCUAAAGACAAGGAAGAAGAGGGGAUCGGCGAAUCCACUGAAAGCCAACCUCCAACCACCGACAGGUGGAAGGAGAUGUCGACCUACAACAUCUACAUGGUAGACACGCCUAACGCCACUGACCAUGGUGGUGGCGGCGGCGACAAUGCCAACGGCAACAAUAGUGCCAACAAUGGCCCUGCGAGUGAUGACCCCAAAGCUCCUCCACAAGCUGACGCGACCGAGAAGCUCAUGUCCGGGAGCGAGUUCGAACCUUACGACGAUGACAUACUGAAUGAAUCGUUCGGAAGUCCAAGCCAUGACGAAGCCCAUCGGAGGCUGCUCAGGUCAGCCAGUAAGAUAGUCAGGGAUAACAAUUCCUACUCCAUCGGAUCAAGCCCAUCGAAGAUGGCUGGCCACAGGUACUCCAAUACGAGGAAGACCUAAAAAAAAGAA
RNAcentral lists this long non-coding RNA (69221 nucleotides) under Triticum aestivum (bread wheat). Its description in RNAcentral is "long non-coding RNA (TAES_LNC018322)". Lineage: Eukaryota; Viridiplantae; Streptophyta; Magnoliopsida; Poales; Poaceae. The record is from RNAcentral.